CGGUUUCGGAAAACAAGAGGUACUAUAAGUUUCAACCUUAUGAUUCUUUUUGUUUUGGUUUUCAAAUAAUAAAUAAUUGUUAUAUGAAUAUUGUUAUCUCUAUGGAAUUUUGUUACAUUUUGUUGUAUCUGCGCUUUCAUUUUUUUUUUUUUUUUUGUUUUAUUUUGUUUUGUUUUUCUUUUGAAAAUUUGCACUUCCAAAUUGUCGUUUCAUGCAUUCUGGAAUCUGGAUGACAAUGAAUAUUGAUUUUGAUUUUAAAAAUAUACAUAUAUAUUUAAAUGACUAGUUAUUAAGGCCUAUAUACAAAUCGAGGAGGAGAAAAUAGGGUUUACAUGGACUUGGGUAAGAAUUAUUUUCAAAAUUCAAAAUUGUUUAAACAGACACUGCACUGCAGUUUUCGAAAAAUAUAUACUAACAAAUUGCCAUUCAAUGCUUGCUGUCUUACAUGCAAACCUUUCUAGAGCAUUGAAUGACACAUUGCAGUUUCUGUAUUAUACCUACUGCCUAAUUUCAGACCAAAACUAUAAUAUGCAAUGCACUGAUUACUAUUUCUUUUUCUCUUUUUCUCUUCUUCUUUAAACAGGUUAAUAUUGUUGAAGGGUGGCUAGGAUACAUCAGACCUCAAGCACAAGCGUUCUUAGAAACUAGAAAAAAACAAAAACUUGUGAAGCAAAAGGAAGGGCCCCCUACACCUAUACAGAAAGACUUGUCCCUGAAUGAAGAACUCACUCUCAAUUGGAUUCUGCAAAAUCCAUAUCAGUUUCCAUUUGAGGAUAACACAGAAUUUGCUCAACAAAGUUCAUCUUCGUAAGAAUUGUGUCUACUCAACCAUUCAUCAUAGUUUGAAAUCAUUCAAAACCAAAAACUAAUCUCGUAUUCAUUUGCAGGUUGGAUUGCGGCAUGUUCGGCAUGUUUUACAUGGAUAAAAUAUCCCAAGGAUAGCUCAUUCCAAAAAGUGUAGACAAGAAUUUCAUGAAUGAAUAUCGAGCUAAAUACGUCACAAACCUCCUACACCACGAACACUGUGUAAUUAAUCGUCUCUAGUGAUUUGCCUUUUGUUAACUCAAGACAAUAUGUAUAUUAAUUCUUGUGGAUGUUUGUAAAUUUUUCUAGUUAUGGUAUAUGAGAACAUAUUUCUUACACAUCUAAACUGUAAUAUAAUCUUGGAAUAGGAUACAACAAAACGAAAAGGAAACAACAAACUGCAUUGAAUUUUCUAGUCAAAUACUGCAACAAAUGAAAUCUGCUCAAAAAAUGUGAAAAGAACCCAAAAGCCAAAGUCAUAAUCAAAGUACUAAAACUUUGUUCAAAACACAUUUAAGUAGGUCAGCAGUUGUAACAUUCCAAUAUACUUGCAAAAAUUAUUCUGAAAUCGAAUUAUGAGACAAAAAAAACUGCACUGAAUUUUGUGGUGAAAAACUACAACAAACGGUAGUGCAGUGUAUGCAAAAACAUAUGCUCAAAUCUAAUGUGAAAAGAAACCGAAAGGCAAAGGCAUAAUCGAAGUACUAAAACUAAUAUCAAAACACAUUUAACUCCAUGAGUAGUUGUAACAUUCCCAUAGACUAGCGAAAAUUAUUCUGAAAUUGAAUUAUGGAACAAGAAACUGCACUGCAAUUUUUGGUCAAAAACUGCAACAAACAAACGGAAACUGCAGUGCAAUUUAUGAAACAAAAUUUGCUCAAAACUGAAAACAAGCAUUGAAUGGCAGUUAAAAAUGAAUAUCCACUAAUGAAACAAUUGUAUAAUUUUCAUUAACUUCAAAAAAUAAUCAUAAUAUCCAAUUAGAAUUUGUGUAGCCAAUUAAAAGCAACUAAAAACUACAAGCACCGACUGCAUUUCAAUGGCCUUAUAAAUUCACCAAAAGCUUUGAUCCUCUUCGUUGGUGGUCUUCCGACUGGCCUCUUUGUAAGUGGCUAAAGCACAACUCCAGAUGCAGAACCGUUGUUGCCCAAGCAUUUCCCAAUAUAUGGAAUAGGAAAAAUAGGACUCUCAUUGGCUUUUCGAAAGAAGUCAGACUUGUAGUAACACUCCAUGUAAUCAUAAACUGAAUCUUUCUUUGCUAGAAUUGCAACCACCACAUGGUACAAGGAAAACCAUCAAUUUUCCAAAGACGGCAAGAACAUGUCCUUUGCUCGAGAUCAACCAUCACAGAAUAAUCAACAAAUACUUCAAAAAUAGUGCAACUAGAACGAUGAACUGCCUAAGUCCUACCAGCCUUUGCGUUUUCCCACAGUCUAGUUUCAAUCUCCAGACACAAAAUUGUUGUCCACUUCUCCACUUCAAUUCGUCGUUGAGAAUUCAAUACCAUCAAUUUUUGUCGAAUCCCUUCUAUCAAAGGUAGCAUCGGCAAAUCUCAAAACACACCAACCCAAUUAUUAAAUUACUCGGCUAAAUUGUUUGCCAUCUGCCCAUAACGCAUUCCUUUGAAAAAUGUGUUGGCAUAGCGAUCUCUAGACAAAUCAGAUAUAAAUGCCUUCACUUUCGAACUCUCAACAAUCACCAACUUGUCCGUUGCUACCUUAAACUCUUCCUCCGUUACAGCAUAUGCGCAUAUACUAAAUAAAUUGAUAACAUAGUCUUGGAGCAGUUUCCCAUAACCUGACUUCGGGACUUCGAUAUCAAAUUCUGCUUGAGGUGAUAGUAACAGUAAGAAUGAGGCCAUCCAAGAAACAAAAACCCCAUUGCAUUUAACAAACCUUGAUUGCAAUCCGAGAAAAAGGUCACCACUCUCCCCAUCGGAAGCAAUAUAGCAGCCGAAUGUUGAAGAGACCAAGUCCAAUUCUCCUCUGUCUCAGAAUCAACAACUCCAAAAGCUAGAGGAUAAAACGCUGUAAAACAAAACCAAAAGCACAAGUAUAAGCAACAAACGGAAACUGCAGUGUAGUUUAUGAAAACAAAUUUGCUCAAAUUUGAAAGAAAAUCGAAAGGCAAAUCCAUGAUCAAAGUACUAAAACUAAGUUUAAAACACAUUUAAGUUCAUGAGCAGUUGCAACAUUCCCACAGACUUGCACUUCCAAAACGUAGCGUCAAUAAACAACAAGGGUAUGCAAUAUUGAAAUCCAACAAUGCAACCGCCAAACGACACAAAAAAUCGUCUAAAGUGGUUAAUUCCAGCUUCACAUUCAAGAACGCAGAGAGAACCAGGGUUAGUUCCCUUUACGACAUUUACAUACCACACUAACUCAUUGAAGGACUUCGACUCAUCACCGUGAACGUCCAAUUUAGCUAGCUCUUUGCCAAACCAUGUGUGGUAGUAUGAAAUGUCUAUACCAUAAUAAUUUUUGAACUCAUGUAUAAUCUCAACUAGCUUCAGCUUAGGUUUUGCACGAAUUCUGUCGACAAAGAGAGAGGACACCACACGAGACCUCAUCAUCUUACUUUUUGAUUCCCAUAUCCAACCUGUACAUGUAUGCACUUUAUUUAACGUCCAAAUUACAAAAUAGCUAGUAGCUUCACAACGAGAAGCAUAAACACGCUAGCUACAACCCUCAAAUUUCUUAUUUGAACAAACAGCAAUCACCUGCUUCUUGUCAUUGCUGGCAUAUAAAAAAUUAAAUCCUACUUCAAGAGCAUACUUGCACAAUUUCAACCGAAACUCCUCUGCACCACCGUCAAACUUCUGCCCUACAUGAUGUAUAUACGUCUCCCACUUAUUCGACAACAAAGGCUUAGUACUUGCACUCUUCGACCUGCCCAAAAAUUCAUUUAUGUCUUCGACAGUACUAGAACAUGAUGACUCGCCCUUUUCACAUGCUAUCAACUCCUUAUUUACACAAAAAUCACCACUAUAUUCACUGCUCCUGCAUAAAUCCUUUACUAAAAUAUCCACACUCUUCGAAUUUGAUAUCGACAAUCCUCAUCAUGCCCAAAUCGCUUUCUGUUUCUAGUAAACAACUUGGAUAACCGGGCAGUGAAUACCGUAACAUGAAACUACUCAACUGCAAACCCCUAAACCUUUGACACAAAGUCUUCGAAACUUCAAUCUUGGAUGACUUUGAUGAAAUUGAAAACAUAAUGGUUUCCGACUUACAUGUGCACUUGGCUAUGAUACAAACCUCUAUUAGCCUUGAAAAUGCAAACAAAACAACAACAGAAAACAGAAAACAAUUCAAAUAAGUAAAUAAUGUAGAUGAGCAGUUUCUAGUCAAAAACUGAAAUAAACGAAAACAACAGUGCACUUGAUGAGAAAACAUAUCCUCAAAUUUGAAUAGAAACCAAAAGAAAGCCAUGAACAGUUGUAACAUUGCCAUACACUUCCAAUGAAGUUUAUGAAACUAGAAAUUGCAUUGCAGUUUCUGCUAAAAACUGAAACAAACAUAUGCAUUUUAUGACAUAAAAUCUAAACGAAUUCAAGUCCAUCCGCAAUUGUAACAUUGCCAAACACUUCCAAUGCAAUUUUUGCUAAAACACUGAAACAAACAGAUGCCGUUUAUGACAGAAAUUCAAAAAACUUCGAAUAGAAACCAAAAGGAAACUAAGAUAAAAGUACUAAAACUAAAUUCUAAAAACAAAUAAGUUGAUAUAAACGAAAAUAGGUUUUUAAGUACUCAUACCUCAACACCUAGGACUGCCAAAAAUCCCCGCAAAUAAACAGCAGCUCAAAAUCAAAUAUGAUCGCAAAAUGAAGAAGACAGAGUUUAGCAUUGAAUGCCACAAGAUCGCGCCACAAAAUCGUGCAACAAAACUGAGCUCGAAAUACCUGAACUAAAGAGAACAGAAAUCACCCAAAAUUGACCCUCAUUCCGUAUGCAAAUCGAACGUAAACGUAGUAGAAAAAAGAAAAAAGAAAAAAGAAGAAAAACGAACAAAAACCUACCAACAAAUUGAAGCUCCAAUGGCAAAAUGAGAACCAGAGCUCCAAAACCUCAAAGUCAAAGGAAAACGAAAGAGAAACCAAGACCAAAUCAUUUGUAGUUUAAAUAGCCAGGGGUAAAAGAGUCAUUUAAUUUGUUAGGUUUAAAGAUGAGCCAGGCUUUUUAAGAAGAAUGGUAGAAUUUUCUUUUCCGUUUUUAUUUUUGAGUUCGCCCAACGAAUCUGGGCCUCCUCUUUGGCCUAAUCUAAAAUAGCAAUUCUUUCCUAGGUAUUAAAACCCAAACCAAAAUACCCAAUGUCUCACAUACUAAUUAGUAAAGUUAAUUAUGUCUAAUACCUAAUUUUUCUUUAAAUUUAUAUACACUACUAUUCCUAAUAGCAGUUGCAACCUCAUGCCGAAUUUUGUGAAAGAUCGGGUUCGACUCGUACGGAAAUGGCCAUCGAAGUGGCAAAAUUUUUAGCAUUGAGGUAAAUUAUUUGUACAUAAUUUCCGUUUUUUAAAAUUCAAUGUCCUAAUUUUUUUUAAAAAAUGUUUCUUGCAUUUUGAAUAUAUAUUUGUUAAAUAGUUUAUGUAAGCACAAAUGUGGUUUGAUGCCAUUGGCCAAGGCAAAAAAUCUUUCAACCAUCAAUAAUAUUGGGUGGUGGUGAAAAAUUGUUCGCGAUUCAGAAUUAUUCCCACGGGUCCAACCGUUGUGUUGAACGAAACUCCACUCCAUGAUUCAACGGCAUCAUAUUCGCCUUUGGAUUUCCCGAUGAGUCAAGACUCACCAAUUCAAAAGGAGCCGAGGCCUGUUGGUCGAAUGGCUGUGAAGGCGAAGAGAGGGAGUACUUCCAGCAGUGAUACUGCAAAAUUUUUGGAGCAAAUUGCAAGGAACGACAACAUGAGAAUUGAGUUAGACAUGAAAAAAGAUGUGGACAAGAAGGCAAUGAAUGAAGAAUAUGCAAGAGAAAUGGAGUAUAUAUGCAAACAAGACAUUGAGAAGAAGGAUCGAGAAACCAUGGUCAUGGAUACAAGCCAUAUGUCCCUUGAAACAAAACAAUUUUGGAAGCUAGAACGAAGGGAUGUUAUGAGAAGAAGACUUUUCCGUGACGAUGGACCUACGUACACCGAUUGGGUAAAUGAUCAAAACUAUUAAGUUGGUUUGCUUGCUUUUUAUUUAAUUGUAUUGCUUGUUUUGUAUUAAAGUAGUUGUAAUUCUUGUCUUUUAUUUAAUUAGUAGUUUUUCUUAAUUAGUUGCAUUGAUUUUUUUUUUUUUGAGUGAAUAAAGAAAUCAUUCAAUAAAAUACCAUUUUAUUCAACACAUUGCAUACAUCAAACAAAACAUUAUUAAAAUAAAACCACGACCAAAGCAUAAUUAAAAAAAACACAACCAAAUCAUAAUUCAAAAUAAAACACAAACAAAGCAUACAUCAACACAAAGCAAAAUUAAAGACAAAGUAUCUUCACUUCACUUCAUUCAUCGUCAUUACCUCUCACUGUCCAUAAGUGCUCCAUCAAGUCAACUUGACGUCAUUCAUGAAUGUAAGACGAUUGCAUCUCCGUAUAUCGAUCAAUCAUACAGUUCAUGAAAUGACCGUCCCUAACCAACGGUUCAUGCUCCAAUGGUUGUCCAUUUGCCCCCUUGGGCCUUUCAUAAAUUCUUGUCAAGGCCGUGUUCUUGGGAUUAGGUUUGAACACGUUUGGAGCAUCAUAAUCAUACUCAUCCUCCACAAUCAUGUUAUGGAGGAUGAUGCAUGUCAUCGUAAUGCUCUGCAGCACCUCCUCAUCAAACAUACUCACAGCACCCCUAAUAAUUGCCCACCGAACUUGGAGGAUACCAUAACACCUUUCGAAUCUUUUCUGUAACCCUUUUGAUAGGCAGAAAAUAAUUUUUCCUUCUCCGAUGGAGGAUGUGGAAUUGAUUUGACGAAUGUGGUUCACCUUGGGUAGAUGCCGUCUGCUAAAUAAUACUCAUUCCAUUAGACGGUAUUGUUGAUUUUUUAGGUGAUAUUUGGGGCUUCACCUCCCAAGACAUCAUUGAAUACUGGGGAUUGACCCAACACGUUCAGGUUGUUUUGAGAUUCGGCAACUCCGAAAAAGGCAUUCCAAACCCAUGUAUCGAAUCCAGCAACGGCUUCGAGAAUGAUACUGUUUUGGCCUUUCCUAUUCCCAUAAUCCCCUUGCUAGGCAGUUCGCCAAUUCUUCCAUUACUAGUGCAUACUGUUGAUGCUUCCUAUGAUGCUUGGAAAACCUCGAGCUUUUUUGUAGAAUUCUUUGAAGGUCCCUAUGCGUAGGUUUGCGGAGGUAGUCCCUGAUGUAGACAGUUUCGAUUGUAUCACAGAAUCUGACCAAGGAUUCUAGAGUAAUGGACUUCCCCAUCCUAGAAAUCUCAUCCACUUGAUCAACAAAGGCACAUACACCAACAUUCAUUUAACAACUGUAAGCUUUUGCUUCGAAAGAAGCCCCAAAUCCCCAGCAUCAUCACACUUAUGAAAGAAGUAUGCAUCGUAAUUGCAAACAUCAUGCAUGACUUUAUUGAAAAAAUGGGGUUGCAUUCUAUAUCACCCUCGAAAAUCAACAUUAGAGUGCACAUAAUUUGGGAUAAAGUAGUCUUCCAAAAGAUUCUUACCUCAAGAAUGCCUAUGUCUGUUCACGUUCGAGCCACGACCGACUUGUGAACCACGGUGGCGGCCUUGACUUGAUAUAUCAAGCAUACCCAUUGCCAUGUCAACUUGUUCAUCAUCUUAUUGUUGCACCUUUUUUUCUUCAGCUCAUCUACGCAUUCUUUCUUUAAUUUCUCGCUCUUGCCUCUCCAAGCAUCUCCUCAUGUCUGACAUUGAGAGUGGAGUAUGAAAUCUAAAAUCUGAGAAAUGAAAGGAUAGACAAGAUCUAGUGUGAGAGGUAUGAGUUGAGCCUCUGGUUUUAUAGAUAGAUAUAGAAGAUAGAGAUGACAUGUGGCACGAUUUUAUAGGGUAAAAAUCUUAUCGAAAAUCUAAGAUUUGUAUUUUAUAAUAAAUAUCGACAAAUGGCACCCGAGAAUCUUAUCUUAAAAUAUUAUCUGAAAUUUGAGAUUUGUAUUUUAUAAUAAAUGUCGACACAUGGCGACCGAGAAUCAUAUCCGAAAAUUUUAUCCAAAAAGUUCAUUCAAAUUAUGAGAUAUGAAUUUUAUAAUGAAUAUUGACACUUGAGAACCGAAAAUCUUCUCCAAAUUAAUUUUUUUAGGUUUAAAAAAAACACUAAAAGUGAAUAGUAUUUCCCCUUUGCCAUGGCAAUGAGUGGAAACACACCUUGCCUUUUGCAAGGGCUGCCCCUAAUCACGUGAAUAGUAACAACCCUUACCUCCCCUUGCCCUUUAACAUGGCAAAUAGGUGGAAGUGCUCUAAGCAUACUGAAAGGAAUUAAUUGCCCCCGUUUUACUGUUCUUCACCCCCUUUUUUGUCUUAGAGCACAGUGAAAUGACGAAAUUACCUUUCUUAAAACUUUUGUGUCUUUCCUUUUUUAACCCAUUCCCCUUCGAAUCCCUUCUGCUGCAACUAUUUCAUUUGCUCUGAGAAAGCACUAAUUUCUGACCAGGCUGGUUGGGCUGGUUGGGGUUCAAGAAUGGAAGAUCUUGCUUCAUUGUUGAAGAUCCAUCUAAGACCGUUCAUUUCUGUUUUUGGCACUUGCUGCUAAUCGGACUGUCCUUUUGGUCUUCAUCUGAUCAGUUUUCCUCUAAGCUAUAUUACAUUUGAGUGUUUCAUCUUUCAGUCAGUUCCAGCUAGGCUUCAUCCUUCCUCUCAUACCACCGGGUAUUAAUAUACAAUUAAUGAUAGAUAGGUUAACAAUUAAAUUCCAGAUCAUGCAUAUUUACUACUAAAUCAAUGAUAGAUAGGGUAACAAUGAUAGAUAGGGUUCAUCCUUCCUUUCAUCCAUGAUUAAUUAUUAUUAUGGGUUUAACUCAAAGGGAUUUAUAAGUUUUCUUCAUUUGUUUGAUCUCUCUCAAAUAUUAUUGCUUUUUAUUAAUUUUAAGUUAGAAAAAAAGUUGAGAUUAAAUGGCUCUUAAUCUCUAUCCCAAGCUGAGAUUAAAACUAUAUCCUUUUUGGAAUCCACCAAGUCCUGUACAGUUUAAAAACCCUCUGUAUCGCUCAGGCACCCUCACUAGUAAAGUCUAUAUGGAGGAAUUAAAGUCUAACGUGUAACUAAAAGUCUAGACGCGAAGGCAAUGUAAAAGAAUAAACGGUCCACAAUUGUGCCAAACCUAAUUCAUAAGGCUGUCAUUAGGUUUUAUUACUGCAUAAUUGUCAUUAGGGUAUUCUUUUACAAGAUAAGGUCUUCAAAUCAGUAAGAUAAGGGUUUUUGUGUUGAAAUAUAAAUGUUUUAGCUAAUAUUAUUCUGUAUUUAGUUUAAAUUUACAGAUUUAAAUGUGAGCCCUUGGAUUACGGUCCAAGUGGACAGCUAAGAUGUGAUCUUAGAAUAGAAGAAUGGAUGGCUAGAUUUGGAUGAUGUAAUGUGGGAAUAUUCUGUUCCCAACAGUUAAGUGUGCACAGUGCGUGUGUGAAUUAGAAUGAGAAUUCAUCUACUUCUUCCUCAAGCUCUCUCUCUCUCUCUCUCUCUCUCUCUCUCUCUCUCUCUCUCUCUCUCUCUCUCUCCAAAAUCUAUCAUGGUAUCAGAGCCAUCCUUCAUGAGCACCUCUGUGAGAGUCAUCUUCCCAGCAUCGCUUGAUUCUUCUUUUUCUUUCUUCUUUGCAUCGGAUUCACCAGCUCAUUUCAAAUCUGAGCACUCUACUUCCUCAUUUCGAAUCUGAGCGCUCUACUCCCUUCUCAACAAACUCCCAUAACCCAUGAGAUUUGAAGAUGGUUUUCAUUCUUAUGCUCAGAAUUCAUAGUUCUCACUGUUGAAAAUUGGCGCUCUCAGCUCCCCACCAGACCCUGCCAUGCUACAAUAAGAAACCAGAGAAUUAGAGAAACCAGUGUAGCAGCUCAAGUAUGCUACUCAGGUAGAAUCUACACCCACUAUGUUUUAUGCUAGUAAUAAAUCUAAUACUAGUGUAAAAGAAUAUGAGGAUGUAUGGUAUGUAGAUAGUGGAUGUAGUAAUCAUAUGACAGGUAGGGAGGAUCUACUUGUUGAUAUUGACAAGAAUGUGACUGCAAAGGUUGAAAUGGGUACUGGACAACUUGUUGAAGUUACUAGUAAAGGAAAUCUGGUGGUUGAAACUAAAUUAGGCAAGCAAUACAUUAAGGAAGUUAUGUUGGUGCCUGGACUGAAAGAAAAUUUACUUAGUAUAGGUCAAAUGAUGGAGCAUAGCUACUAUUUGGUGUUUGGAGAUCACAAGCUCGAAAUCUAUGAUGACAGCUCAUAUUCCAACUUGGUUUCAAAAGUACAAAUGAGAGGAAAUCGAAGUUUUCCAAUGAAAUUGCAGUCUGGAAUACACACUGCCUACAAGGCUAGUGUAUGUCACUCUACUACUAUGUGACAUAGGAGAUUGGGGCAUUUGAACAUCAGUAGUUUGAAGUUGAUACAAGAACAAGAGAUGGUGGUAGGUUUACCAGAAAUUCAAGCAGCUAAAGAGGUAUGUGAAGGGUGUGUUCUUGGUAAACAAUGUAGAGAGGCAUUUCCAAGGGAAGCUACUACUAGAGCAUUAACUCCUCUAGAAUUUAUACAUAGUGAUAUUUGUGGUCCAAUGCAGAUUGUUACAAAGGCAGGUAAUAGGUACUUUCUCACCUUUAUAGAUGACUGUACACUACAAGAAAAAUAGCUUUUGACAACAUGCCACUAACAACGUGCGUCUAUUUCACGUUGUGGAAGUAUACUUUUGACAACAUGCACCAAGUGCACGUUGUAGUACGCUACUUAUAACAACGUUCCUUUAAUACGCGUUGUCAAAAUGAAAUUUAGAAAAAAUUUCGCAACGCAAACAUGCGUGUUGUGAUAUCUUUAAGUUCUACAACGUGCAAACCAUGUUGUCAACUUGUUUCAUUUUUUUAAAGGAAAUAUACGCAAAAAUUAUGCGGGAGAACUCCCUCUCUUUCAAAAUAUUAAAACAUUCGAAAGUUUUUUAAAACCCCUCUUUUUUCUGAAUAAUAUUUCACAGCCCCUCUUUCUUUUGCAAAUCACUCUCACACUGCUAAACCUAGGGAAAAAUCCAAUAUCCCAACCUCUUUUGCUCCAUCCCAGCCAUCUCUCUCUCUCUCUCUCUCUCUCUCUCUCUCUCUCUCUCUCUCUCUCUCACUCAUGGAUCCUCUCUUUGCUCAUCAUCCACUGCCUCUGUCAUUGCCAACUUCACAGCCUCUCAAUCUCUUAUCGCCGUCAUCAAAUCCCUCAAUGCUUUGCUCUCUCAUCGCGAACCACUACUUCUUUUGUCUUAGAUCUACAAUUCUUAAGGCCAAUCCUAAUAUUUGUUGUUCUUUGCAGGUAUUGGCCUUCAUCACCGAGCCCACCAGCAUCUUUCCACCACUAACUUGCUCAGCCUCAUUUAGGAAAAAAUUGAGUGGCCUCCAGGUACAAAAUUUUAGUGCGAAGGUUUGAUUUUUGUUGGAUUGUUCAUUUGAUUUUGGUAAUAUAAUAUUUGGGUUUAUAUUACUAUUUGGAUUGUUUGGUUUUGUUCACUGUUUCGAUUUUGUUCACUUAAUAUAUAUAUUUUUAUAAUAUACAUUAAAUAGUGUGUUUAAGGCUCUUCAUGUGCUUAUGAAUGCCUUUUUUCUAUGAUAUAUAUAUAAUUUAUAUUCCCUCAAAAUUUUCUGAGUGGAUAUGCCUUCAAGGAUUAAUUUUAACUUUCAUCAGAUUCCUUCAUAUUACAGGUUUUGAUACUGGUUUUGUGCUGAUUACAUGUGUUGAUUUUGGUUCCCUUUAACAAAUGGGUAAGCUUUCAUCUUUCAAAAGCUGUCCCUUUAAUAGGGGUGAGUUUCGGAUUUUUCCUUCAACUUCUUUUGCAUUUUGUGUGUUAAUUUUGACAUAUGUUUUUGUUGGGUAUCUUGUCUUGGUUAUGAAUAAUUUCAGUUUAGGCCAGAAAACUUGAGUAAGGUUUUUCAGUGCAAACAGAUAUAAGAUCAUAAUAGUCUUCUUGUACAUACUUAUUUUCAAUUGUUUUAUGAAAAUUUCAUGUCUGGCUACAAAGCAAUUUGCAUUUUGUCUUCUAAUUUUUGCCAAUAUUGUAGCUAUGCAAUUUUGUCUUCUAACGAAAUAAUUUGCAUCAUGUAUGAUUGUGAUUAUUGUUUGGCUUAGGAAGAAGAAAAUAGAAGGAAAGGGCGCAUUAAGGGUCCUCCCGUUGGACAGAUAUUGAUGUUAACCUUUCCUGUACGUCUCUGCAUUAAACUUGCUGUAUUAUGAUAAUAUAAGUACAAUAAUUUUUUCCCCUGAUAUGUUGUAUAUUACUCUCUAAACUACCAUAUCUUUGAUUGAGCCUUGAGGGGAUUGAUUGUUAAAGAUCUUUGUUCUCUGUUCUGUUAUGCAUUUUCUCUAAUUUAACUUCCUCUCUUACUAUAGUUCAUCUCAAACUUAGAGAAAGAUAAGAACAUAGUUUAGUUGGUUGGAUUGAGUUAAUGGCUAAUCAUAGGUUACUAGUUUUGCAAACUUUCUAUUCCUAAAUUUGCAAUUUCUUAACUAUUAAAAUUGUCUUGUUUGAUUUUUUUUUGUUCAGAACUUCUGUGCGACCUUAAGAUGGAUAGUAUGGGUGCUUCUUGGAAUGAUAGGUGCACAUUGGUUAGAUAAUAUUCCGCAAUUGGACAAAGGGUUUGAAACACAACUAAUCAGGUUUCUUGAUAAUGCUUUACAAGGAUUUUAAAUUGUAAUUAUACUAUGCAUAGUUCAAUUUCCCUUCAUAUGGAUAAAUGUAAGUUGACAAUGAAUCUUUCUAUGGAGUUAUUUUUUGAAUGAAAACUCUUUAUUAUGGGUUACAUUAUGAUUUUUAUUUUAUCAAAGGUUAUAUUAUGAUUGGGAAGGAAGAAAAUAGUCACACUUAACUAAAGCUUGAAUUUAUGGAUCAACUCUAUUGUUAUAAGGUGAUUAUGAAUAUAAUUUUUUUUUUAUUAUAAAUAUUUAUUAUCACAACGUGCAAAGACUGUUGUUAAAAUUGAAACAACAACAUGUCUAUGAACGUUGUCAAUAAGACAUACAACAACAUGCCGAACACGUUGUUGUCCAUUGAUUCUACAAUGUGUGCACGUUGCCGUUAAUGGCAUGGACAACGAGCACUUAAAUCAACGACCACAUGCAAAGCCUGUUGUCGAAGGGCCUUGACCUUUUAACGACAUCGGCUUCCACAACAUGCGCCGUGUGUUGUCAAUACCCUUCAACAACGCCCAAUGAGCGCUGUGAAAGGACUUUUUUCUUGUAGUGGUACUCGGAUGUGCUGGAUUUAUUUUUUGAGAUACAAGUCUGAAGUAUUCAGUGUAUUUAAGAGGUUUAAGGCUACUGUUGAACUGCAAAGUGGAUAUAAGUUGAGGAAAUUGAGAAGUGACAAAGGAGGAGAGUAUACAUCCAUUGAAUCCAAUAGGUUCUGUGAAGAAAUGGGAUGGAAAGGCAACUCACUGUGGCAUAUUCACCACAGCAAAACGGUGUGGUUGAAAGGAAAAAAAGGACCAUUGUGGAGAGGGCCAAGUGUAUGAUGUUUGAGAAGAAGAUGCCACUAGAAUUUUGGGCUGAAGCUGUUAACACUACAGUAUAUAUCCUAAAUAGGUGUCCAACUAAGGCUUUGGACAAGAAGACUCCUUUUGAAGCCUAUAGUGGUAGAAAGUCAAGAAUUAAGCACUUAAGGAUGUUUGGUUCUUUGUGCUAUGCAUAUGUUCCAAGUCGACAGAGACAGAAGCUAAAUUUGGCUAGCACAAGAUGUGUGUUUCUGGGAUAUGGAAGCUGUGAAAAAGGCUACGGGCUUUACAACCUCGCAUCUGGAAGAGUAGUUAUUUCUAGAGAUGUUGUAUUCAAUGAGGAAGCAGGCUAGAAUUGGAAUAUGCGAAAGGAAUGCAGUAUCUCAGUUCCACUCACUGAUAUGCUUACUGAGAAAGAAAAGGAGACUGGUGCAGCUAGCUUGCCUCAAGUAGAGACCUCAGAAGAAGAACGUGUUGAAAUUGGUUCAGGGCCACAAGAUAUUGAUCACACUCCUCUGAAAUAUAAAAGUAUUGCUGAAAUAUAUGAAAGAUGCAAUCUGUGCAUCAUUGAGCCUGAGACAUUUGAAGAAGCUGUUAAAGAUGAGUCAUGGCAGAAAGCAAUGGAGAAUGAAAUUGCAAUGAUAGAGAAGAACAACACUUGGGAGUUGGUUAAUAGACCAUCUGAUAAACUAGUAAGUGGUGUCAAAUGGGUCUAUAAAACCAAGUUGAAUCUUGAUGGCUCGGUUCAGAAAAAUAAAGCAAGGCUUGUUGCAAAGGGUUACUCUCAAAAGCCUGGAAUAGACUUUAAUGAAACAUUUGCACCUGUUGCUAGGCUUGAUACAAUUAGGACAUUGAUUGCUUUGGCUGCACAGAAAGGCUGGAAGCUGUUUCAACUAGAUGUGAAAUCAGCAUUUUUGAAUGGAGUAUUACAUGAGGAAGUAUAUGUUGAUCAACCCCCUGGAUUCAUUAAGAACAAAGAGGAUAGAGUUUACAGACUCAAGAAGGUAUUAUAUGGCCUUAAGCAAGCUCCAAGAGCUUGGUACAAAGAUAUCAACUCUUAUUUUAUAAAGGCUGGUUUUCAAAGAAGUCCUAGUGAAACAACAUUGUAUGUGAAAUCUGCAGAAAGUGGAAUACUCAUUGUUUCCCUAUAUGUGGAUGACAUUAUUUACACUGGAAGCUCAGGAGAAUUGAUGAUGGGUCAAAACUGAAAUGAUGAAACANNNNNNNNNNNNNNNNNNNNNNNNNNNNNNNNNNNNNNNNNNNNNNNNNNNNNNNNNNNNNNNNNNNNNNNNNNNNNNNNNNNNNNNNNNNNNNNNNNNNNNNNNNNNNNNNNNNNNNNNNNNNNNNNNNNNNNNNNNNNNNNNNNNNNNNNNNNNNNNNNNNNNNNNNNNNNNNNNNNNNNNNNNNNNNNNNNNNNNNNNNNNNNNNNNNNNNNNNNNNNNNNNNNNNNNNNNNNNNNNNNNNNNNNNNNNNNNNNNNNNNNNNNNNNNNNNNNNNNNNNNNNNNNNNNNNNNNNNNNNNNNNNNNNNNNNNNNNNNNNNNNNNNNNNNNNNNNNNNNNNNNNNNNNNNNNNNNNNNNNNNNNNNNNNNNNNNNNNNNNNNNNNNNNNNNNNNNNNNNNNNNNNNNNNNNNNNNNNNNNNNNNNNNNNNNNNNNNNNNNNNNNNNNNNNNNNNNNNNNNNNNNNNNNNNNNNNNNNNNNNNNNNNNNNNNNNNNNNNNNNNNNNNNNNNNNNNNNNNNNNNNNNNNNNNNNNNNNNAAAUGAUGAAACCAAUAUGAGAUGAUUGACCUUGGGUUAUUACAUUAUUUCUGGGUUUAGGUGUGAUACAAACAGAGUCCUACAUCUUCUUGCAUCAGAAGAAAUAUGCAAGGACAUUGCUGGACAAGUUUGGUUUCAAAGAUUACAAAUCACUUGCUACUCCUCUUGCAGUGAAUGAAAAAUUAUCUAAGGUAGAUGGGAGUGAACAAGCUGAUGAAAGUGUGUAUAGGCAGAUAGUUGGAAGUCUGUUAUAUUUGACUGUAACAAGACCGGAUCUCAUGUUUGCAACAAGCCUUUUGGCUAGAUUUAUGCAUGGUCCAACCUGAAAACAUAUGGGAACCACUAAGAGGAUACUCAGAUACAUUCAAGGCACACUUGAUUAUGGCAUAGCAUAUGGGAAAGGGAAAGAAGCAAUGCUUAUUGGCUACUGUGAUAGUGAUUGGUUAGGGAGUGAAGAUGACACGAAAAGCACAUCUGAAUAUGCAUUUAGUCUUGGAUCAAGUGUAUUUUCUUGGGCAUCUGUCAAGCAAAGCAGUGUUGCUUGACAGAUAAACACUUAGAAGGGAGUGUUGAAAUAUAAGUGUUUUAGUUGAUAUUACUUUGUAUUUAGUUUAAAUUUACAAAUUUAAAUGUGAGCCCUUGGAUUACAGUCCAAGUGGACAGCUAAGAUGUAAUCUUAGAAUAGAAGAAUGGAUGGCUAAAUUUGGAUGAUGUAAUGUGGGAAUAUUCUGUUCCCAACAGUUAAGUGUGCACAGUGUGUGCGUGAAUUAGAAUGAGAAUUCAUCUGCUUCUUCCUCAAGCUCUGAUCUCUCCAAAAUCUAACAUUUUGGUCAGUCUGCUUACAAGUUUCAAUUCUUUUUGUUGUUCUAACUAGGUACAACAACAUAAUUUCGACGGAAUCCGAAAAAGCUCCCACUGUAAGAAAGUGGAAAAACGAAGUGGGAAAAAAAGCAAUGCUCCAGAUGUGGGGAUAACAUGGGAUUGCAUCUGCAUCAUCUGGAAGAAGUUGGUGUCAUCUGAGGAGAGGCCUAAGAAUUUAUUUUAUUUUUUGCAAUUUUGAGAGAUGAGAAUGAAGCCCCCGUGGACCAAUAAAAAAUCAUGUAUUUUUCAGAGAUGGGAUUUGUACGGUUGUACAAUUCUUUUGAUUCCACUUUAUAGUGUGCAUGUGAAUGACUAUUUAAUAUACUUAUCUCAGCUUCCCUAUUUUCCGUUUAAAGUUAUUCAUAAAUCAUUUCUAUUCAAUUUCAGUUCUCUAAUCAGGUUUCGAAUUGGCUAUUUAAUACAUGUUGGUAAACAUUUGUACUGAACAAUUUCACUAAUUAGCUGGAGCCAAGUCGUGGCUCCGCUCUUUGUUAUAAUAUUAUUUUGUACUCGGUAACAAUUUCAGUAAGUUGAAGUCGUCUUUUUUGCAAUAUAAUUUGAAGUUGCUGAAGAGAGAGUCUCAACAGUCGACUAUGUAGAAGAGAAAAAAAAAGAGAGAAACUGAAGAGAGUUGCCACACCUUCAAGUACUGGAAGAUUUAUUUAUUUAUUUGAAACAAGUGAAUCGAGUUUGUAGCCCCAACUAAUAUCCAUUUUACAAACAUUUUAUUAGUGUUGACAUUCAGUAAUAGUCAAACCCAGUCUACCAAUAAGAGAUCAACAUGUGGACUCUAACCACGAGAGAUCAACUAACGGCUCGGUCAAAUGUCGACCACACCCCAUGAGAGGGGUGGCCCCUAGAAUUUUCCUCAGGCGGCCCUGUGCACCGCUUUUCAUUAGAGCAUGUUUAGCGCUGCUGGUUUGCUCGGGCAAGAGGGAGUCUAGGCCCAGCUUUUGUCUCCAACGCACAAAGGCAAGACCAGGCAAUUGAUGGGGGCCACAAGCCUGGGCAGGCCCAAAGCCAAAUCUUGCUUGAGUUUGCUAACGUCGUUGAUGACGUCAGCAACUAAAAUUUUUUUUAAAAAAAUCAAAAUUUUAAAUACCUAGUCUUAUUUUUCACUUCUUAUGCCAAAAUUAAUGGUUUAAGUGUAAAAAAUAUAAAAUAAAUUAAAAUGAAUAGUAAUUGCCCUUGCCCUUGCCAUUUGGGGUGGAACUAAAAAAGGCAAGUCUAUUAAAAUGAAUAGUGAUUGCCCUUGCCCUUGCCAUUUGGGGUGGAACUAAAAAAGGCAAAGCUGCCACUAUUCACGUGAAUAGUGGCAGCCCUUGCCUUGCCUUAGCCUUUUGGGUUGAAUUUGCUCUUAGAAGAGAGAAAAUGGGGGAGGAGAGAGCAAAACACACCCCCCCUCCCUCCCUAAAAAUCUGAAUUUUUUAAAAUUACAAAAUUGCCCUUAACUACCGUAGAUCAUAACUCCUUUGUUUUAACUCAUAUUCGAGCCCAACAUGAUAGGACCCACCCUAGAUUCUCCCUCAGAACCCAUGACGAACCCUGCUUCUUGUCCGACAUCCCACUUUAUUAAAAGUCAUUUAGCCCUAAUUUAAACUGAUCGACUAUUCGACUUCUACUAAAAUUUCGAUAGAGUCCCCACUGUAACUGGAAUAUUUCCUAAUUUAUAGUACCUGCAAACAAAUGCAAGAAUAAACCUAACUUCUAGCAUGCACAAAGUGAAGUCACGCAAAACAGUUAAGAUCAUGCCUUCUACCCAAACUCAAAACGAGCAAGCAGAGCUACUAAAAAUUAAGUUUACAACCUGGGGAAAAAUAAAAUGUACAGAGUGAUAGUAGCACACUACUAUGGAGCGGAUAACGAUGAUGCCUCGACGACGUGGUCUCAACCUCAGCUAUCUAGAACCUGGGGGGGCGCAAAACAAAAAAUGUGAGUAGACGAAAACAAGCGUUAAACAUCAUUUAUAUUCAACAUAAAUAACCCCUCCGUUUUAGAAAAUAAUGUAAACUUGUUAAUUUAUUCCUUAUUGUAAAACCAUAAAUUCAACACCACUAAAGUAAACCCAUUAGUAUAAAAUAUAAUCAUCAAAACCCAAAAUUCUUUUUCCAGCAACCAUACCCUUGUAAAAAUACAAUAAGCCAAGUAAUUUCCAAAUAUCCCAUCUCAAUUCCGAAAUUCAUUUCAAAUGUUCAUUCCUGUGCAAAGUAUUCUCAAUGCACAUGCCCAAGAAACCUCAACAUGGAAAUAAAUUCACAUAUACCCAUAUAAAUGUGUGUGUGUGUGUGUGUGUGUAUAUAUAUAUAUACACGCACAAACAUUCACCAUAACAAGAUAUGUACCAGGGGAAACAAUCCAACUCGGGGACUGUUUGUUCUCAACCACAUGUCGGGAUUCUGCAUCAUACAUGUGUAAGGAUGAGUAGUCCAACCAGGGGACUUUUGCUCCCCAACACACACAUGGGGACCUGCAUUGUACGUGUAGCUGAAUCCAAUCAUACGCGUAGACUAACAUCCUCACAUACCUCCCAAAAAGUAUAUGUGUGCCCUGAUGGGUCCCAAAGACCAACUUUAAUUCUUUUCCAUCAUCCUUUUCAUAUCGAACCAGGGGAAGGUACAACAAAUGGUGUGUAGCCACAUAAAUCCCAUAUCCCAAAAUAUAUCAAAAUCCAUAUACUUUAAUAAUAAUAAUAAAAUAAUAAUCCCUAGAAAUCCCAUAUCACAAUGUAAAAGCCAAGACUAGCCUGAUAAUAUAAUCCCAUAAUCUCAAUUAACCCAAAAUAACCAAUUUUCCAAUCAAAUCAAAUUUAUGCAAGCAAUUCCAUGUUUGAAAAACAAUGUUCAUUUAAAAAUAUAUGUCCACUCACAACAAGUCCAAUGCUGCUGAAUUCUGAGAGGACUCUUCCUCUGGAGUAUGCGAAGUGUGGUACCUAUUCGAGAGAAUACACGGACUUAAUUACCAAACGUACCUAACAAUGAACUUUAACUCAAAACUCCAGUUCCCAAGUCUCGAAGUGUGCACAACCUUUAUGAAGGUUUACAAGGUCAUUCUAGUACUUCAUGAAGGAUAAGACAGUCCUGGAAGACUCAUGGUCAACCGAGCAGUCAAACUUUCCAUAUUGGUCAAUCGGGCCAGCGAGGCUCACAAGGCCCACGACCUCCGAUUUCUGAUCCGAAAGUUUCUACACAGUCCUAGAGGUACCAGGAACAACAUAGUUAAAAUUGGAACCGAUCGAACGGUCCGAACCUAUCGAAUCUGGAUAUCGCAUAAUAGGUGCAAUAUCCAUUCAAUAGUCAAACGACAACCAAUUCCAAUUUCGAGCAUAGAGUCGUGCUCAGGACGACAUGGGGAGUAUUUUAGGACAUAAUGGGCCGACACACAGUGGCCCACGCAUCGCCAACCACUGCGGGCAGCGUGUGGGUGUCUUGAGAAUUUCACGUUUCAAUAAUUAAUAAAAGUAAAAGAAAAUUGAACCAAACAAAUUAAGAAAGUCCCAUCUUCUAUUUCUUCACUUUCUCCGUCUAAACAACUCAGGUCUCAUAGAAAACCUUUUUUCUUUUUUUCUUUUUUUAUCAUUAUCAAAGCUGCACCGGUUUGUUGGGUCACAAUCUCUAGAUCCUCUCAAUUCUCUGAUAAAUUUUCUGGUCUUUUUCGGCAAGGCUUAUGGUCUCUACGGAGGUUGAAGACAAAAAUUUCAGGGAGGCAAAAACAAAGCAUUGAAAUAGAGGGACAAAAAGUUCUCAAUCUACAUGUGAAAUCUGCUAUUCCACCAAAGAAUUGUGAUGAUGUGGAAAGAGAAAGUGAAAAGAGUUCGUGUUGGUUUUGAUCGAAGUUGGUCCUAAUUUUUUCUGAGUCCGAGGAGAUGGGUGUUGUUCAUGGUGAUUUUCUCGGUUGUGAAGAGGGAGAGCUAGCGUAGCUGGGACGCAUUUCAGUGUGUUUAGAAAACACUGAAAUCAGGGGCGGAGCUAAAAUUGUAAAAGUGGAGGGGCCGAAGUAGAAAAUACAAGUAUAUAAAACACCUAAGUAUUCAAUACUUACAUGUUUAGAAUUAAAUAUUUCUAAUUGUGCCAUGUCUAAUUUGUUUUAGAGGAAAUUUUAACUUAAAUUUUAAGUUGUUUAUUACAAAUUCUAUAUAUCAUAUAUAAUAUAAUAAAGGUGUGAUAAAAAUAUAAGGGGGCCAGGGCCACUCCAGGUCUAGGAGUGGCUCCGCCACUGACUGAAAUAAGACUAGGUAUUUUAGGAAUAAUGGUGGGUGGAAAAAUAAGAUUGUAUUUUUUAAAAUUUAUAUUGUGGGUGAAAAUAUAAAGUGGAUGGAAAAAUAAAGCAGGUUGGUGGAAAUAGCAGCCCUCAUAAUUAAUAAUUCAAGUUACAAAAAUAAAUCAUAUAUCAAUAAUCCCCAAGAGUUUUCACCCAAACUCUAAAUCAUAAAAACUUAACAACAACAAUUAAAAUUAGAAAUUGAAUAAAAAAAGAGAAAAACCUACCAAGAUUGAAGAACCCACUGAAGAUAGGUUGGUACAAUUUUUUUGAGGGAGAGAGCUAUUUCUUCUUAGGCUCUCAAGGUUCAAAUAUAGUGUUUUGGGUGGCUAAAAGAAAAAUUCUAAUAUUUGCUUCUAAUCAAAUUUAUAUAGAUUAUGAAUUGCAUGUUUAAUAUUUCUUAUAUGCUUCAAGAAUGGGCUUAUUUCUACAUAGAGGACUAGGCUUAUUUUAAAUAGAGGGCUGACUAUUAUUUACUUUACCUAGAUUUCGCUUAUACCACUAAGCCUUAAAAAAAAAAAAACAAAACAAAAACAAAAACAAAAACCAAAACAAAAUCUCCGAGAGAUGUAAGUUGGGGAAGCAAAUAGUGUUGGGGAAAAGUAUUUUUGACUCUUAAUUUCUUUUGUAUAUUUAAUAGCCAAAAUGUUAGUUAACUUAGAAAUUUGACUCUCUUAAUUUCUUUAUUUUCUUCAAAGAAUUGACUAAACAAAGAAUCAUACAUUUGAGUUUGCUUUUGGGGCUUCCGCAUUAAAAGCUUAAAGAGUACGAUCCUACUAAUGGUUUAGAAUUAAAUGAAUUAGCUUACCUAAGCCGACUCCCUAAUACUUGUCAAAUCACACCCCAACCUUGAGUUUUGAUUGAGCUUGACUAUAAAGUAUUUUACCCGAGCAACAUAUAAGAAAGGGUAUCGUGUAUUGAUGGGGUCGACUUCUAUUAGAGAGGUGGUACACUAUAAAAAUGUGAUAUGCCUAGUAUUUUUCUAUAAGAAGGGACACUACAUGUUGGAGGCCACAUAAGUCCUUGUGAUUAUUCAGGCUGGAGAUUAUCAAAGAUAAACCUCUAAUAUUACCUUCAACUGGAUUACAGAGGUAUAUAGUUUGAUAUAUAAAUUAUUCUAAUCAAAUAUCACAAAAACAAAAUGCAAGAACAAUUUUAUUCGUUAAACAAUUAUACAUUACGGAUAAACCUCAAUGGGCUUAAACAUGAAUAUUACAAGCGUAUAUGUAAAUUAUUCCAAACCAAUACAAGCCGGAGAGGAGAAUAUCAAGGAUAAACCUCAAUUAGAUAUCUUAAACCGCAAAUGGGAGUUAUCUUAUAGUCACUGAAACCUGCAUCAGAAAAUAGCUUAGCCCAUUCUUUCUCAGUCCUUUCUUUUCCUGUAACCAACACCAUCAUCAACAUAUCGAAGAAGAGCUGCGUCUCAAUUGAUUGGUCAUCUCCCUUCUGCUUCAUUACCAUGUCAAUGAUAAUCACCUUGCCUUUCUUUUCCUUCCUUGUAAUUGCCUCUUUAGAUCGCUGAAGUAUUUUUAUACAUUCUUCAUCGGACCAGUCAUGCAAUAUCCACUGCUAGUCAUGAGCAGUCACCAUUCAUAAGAGACGGAUAUACAAAUAGAGAAUUUCGAUCUUAAACAAUUAUUAAGAUAUAUAAUAAACAGUCCCGAUCUCUUGGACCACAAGAGUCCAAGAGAUUGUGGUCACCCACCGUUGGAUAUUAAUCCAAUGGUUCAAAAUGAUAUAUAUAAAUGCAAUAUGACAUAAAUGAUUAUUACCCGAUUCAAGUCAACCGUUGAAUUUACAUCCAACGGUGGGUGACCAUAAAUCUCUUGGACUACAGGGGUCCAAGAGAUCAGGACUGAUAUAAUAAAAAUGAUACUAGUCGGUGCUAUAAUAAAAAUGGAAUAUGUACAUAAAAUUUGAAGAUAAGAACGAAAACAAAGCAAAAGGAAAGGGUAUAAACAAAAAACAUGUAGUUAAGGGAAAUAGCAUACGUGUUAAAAAUAAGGCCAAUCGUAUGUUUGUUGGGAAACAUUAUCUAUGCUAUGUGUUCAAUUUCUUUGCUUCUUCAAAUAAUUCAAAUUAUUAGCUUCACAAGUUUGAAGGGGAAAUGUCCCAAUGUUAACUAAUUUCUUAGCUUAAAAUAUCUGCAGCAGGAGGGUAAAAUUUAAAAGGUUUAAUGAGUGGUCCUUGUUACUUGCAUGCAUGUAAUUAUCUAAAGCAACCUUAAAAUCACAUAGCACCGACUAGUAUCACAUAGCACCGACUAGUAACAUAAUCUCCGAGAUGUACGUACCUUCAUUAAAAUUGCAUCUGUGUGAGGAAUGGCCUCAAACAUGUCCCCUCCAAAAAAUUUCAAGUUCUUACUCCCUUUUAGGUCAGCGACCACAUGUGGGAGAUCAAAUACAAUGCAUUCCACAUGGGGAAAUACAUCAGCAAUGGCCUUGGCCAUGGUUCCUAUACCACCCCCAACAUCAACCAAGGACUCCAAUCCCUCAAACACCCCCUUGUACUCAUUACUCACCACCUUCGAGAUUAGUCGAGCAUCACUAGCCAUGGAAUCAUUGAAAAUGUGGGAAAGACUUGGCUCGAGGUACCCGAAAUCCCAAAAUGUUGUCCCAUGCGCCGUGAAACAUGCUGUAGGGUCAUUAUUUUGGAACCAAGUGCUAAAGUAAUGCCAUGGUUUGGUCAUAAAAGGAUCAAGCUGGCCAAGUAAGAAGGGUCUUGCGCUUAAGGGAUCGUCCUUAAGAAGGAGCCUGGAAGCAUCCGUCAGCACAUAACCUUCUUCCUCAUCAAGUUCACUAAGCUUUUGGCGACCGAAGAAGCCCGAGUGCACUAAGAUUCGCAUGAGCCGGUAGACACAAUUGGAUUUUGUUGGGUGGAUUGGCAAUGCAGAUAUAAGCUCAGAAAGGCUCAUGGGAUUGCCAUGUUUCUUUAUGAUGUCUGGUAUACCUAGUUGAACUGCACAUUUGAGAGACAAAGGGUUUAUGAAACUGAAAAUGCAAUUCCAAAUGUGGGCUUGAGCUUGGAGUAGGUUGGCAGAACUCAUUUCGUUACUCAAAUCCAUGUAUUUGGCUCCAGAUUAACUAGUGCGGGAUAGCAUGGCUAGUUAGGAAUAAUAUAUCCAAGUGUUUAUGGGUCGAAUGUACAUGAAUAAUAUAACAAAUAUUAGGCUAGUUAGGAAGAGGUUUGUAGUUUAAAUGAUUAAGAAUAUUUACUAGCACCUGAGUUCCUAGGUUCGAUUCGCCCCAUCCUCACAACAUCUUCUAUAAAAAUAAAAAAAAUUGUUAGCCUGGUUAGAACUUCACAAUAUUAUGGGUCAGAAAUUGAGGGAUGGCGACAUGUCCCAAACUGGAAGAACGACAUGAUGUAGCACGAUCUUAGUCAUGCAAACCAAUAUUGGCAAUCGAGCAGAAAUGGCAAUGGAAGCCAUGUGCCUUAUCUCUUUCUAGGCCUACCAUUUGGUUUUGGUCAGAAAUUGAACCGACUAAUCACUCCAAUUGUUUUGGUAUUGGGAACCAAUUUUAGUGAUGCACACUGGCUAUUUGCAAUGGAGCAUUAAAAUGACAAUGGAAGUCAUGUGCCUUAUAUCUUUCUAGGCCUACUAUAUAUUUUCUUUUGAACAGAAAUUGAACAGACUAAUAACUCCAAUUGUUUUGGUUUUGGGAUGUCGACAUGUUCCGAACCCAAAGAGCGAUGUAGCACAAUCUUAUUGAUGCACACUAGCUAUUUGCAAUGGAGCAUAAAUGCAGAUGGAAGACAUGUGACUUGUCUCUUUCUAGGCCUACUAUUUGGUUUUGCUCAGAAAUUGAACUGACUAAUAACUCAAAUUGUUUUGGCUUCACAUGUGGACCAUUAUGUGGUGUUUCCACAUGAGGGGUCGUGUUGAACAAUAUAAAGUCUCACAUCAAAAUGUUCACACAACAUAUAAGUGGUUCCACUACUAAUACACCUACUGAAUAUGAAGGUGAUUAAGUUGGGGACAAUACUGAUAUAUGUUGCUAGUAGUGGACCACUAGCAUGCCGCUCUUAAAUUUAUCAUAUAUUAUUUAUAUAUUAUAUAAUAUAUAUCUAGAAAAUGUCCUCAUGUGAAAUAAAAAUAAGUUACCCAUCCCUUUUUACAUAUCUGAUACGUAAAUUAUAUGCACAAUAUUCAAAUAAGUACAAAGUCUAUAAAAAAAGGGAGAUAUUUAGUCAUACACCCAUUCUUAGCACUAAUGAUAUAGAUAAAUCCUAUACCAUUUAAUUACUAUAAACAAACGAAAAAAAACCCAAAAAUGACACAUUUGAUUAUUAAAUUACUUUGAUGCCUUAUUGAGUGUUUUGAGUUUUUUUAUGAAAUUUUUGGUUAGUCUUGUUUUAAGAAAUUGAUGGCAAUUUUGUAAUUUAUAAUAAGUUAAAAGCCUCUUUGUUAUGUUGUAAAUGAGCUUUGAGUGUGUUUCUAAAGUCUAUUUCAUAUUCGGAUUUUUUUUAUAAUUUAGGCCAUAUUUUAAGUAUAAUAAUGAAAUCCCCGAAAAAAAUUUGGUACACCAACGUAUAGAUUGAAAAAUUAGUUUCACAAACAUAUAUAACUACAAUUUGGGGGUAGUGCUCGAGCUUUGUGCAUUAUACAUGCACGAAACUCCAAAUGAAAAUAACAUUUUUAUUUCUUUGCUAAGUAGGUUUUUAUUUCGUGAAAAAAAGGUAAAUGAUUUUUUAUACUUAUAGUGCUCUCAACCCUAAGAGAAAUAUCACUAAAUUAAUUAUUAGUUGGUAUCUGUAUAUUUUACGUAGGUACACUAACUUGUAUAUAGAUACCACCCAAAAAAUAUAUAUAUUAUAUAGAUAGAUAAUAAUUUUUGACACUAUAGAUAAGUACAGGGUGUGGCGCUCAAGCCAUUAUACAUGUCUGCAUUUCCAAAUAAAAAAAUAAUCACUACUACAAAAAUUGAAAUAGACGACGGGAAACCACCGUCAUCUAGAAGGUUUUUCAACCGUAGUGAAAUCGAUCACCAUCUUUUGUACAAAAAACGACGAUGGUUAAUACUCGAUGUCGUUAAGGCAUUCAACGUUCAGAUUUAUUACGAACCGAUGUGUAAUUACUAUAUAAUUAGCCUAAAAUGAAAUCUUCGACAACAUUAGAUGACCGUUUUAUGAAAAUUGAGACGUCUAAAGAGUGUUACAUGUUAAGAUCAAAAGAAGAACCGACGUACAGAUAAUUAUCCAUGUCCCAAAAUGAAGGAAAAAAGACUUGGAUAAGAUAGAAACCGUCGUGGUUAAUUUAUACUACGUUAAACAAACAAAGAAACCAACGUCUACAACAUAAACAAUGACGUGCACACAAACCAAUAGACAUUUAAAGAGUAUUACAUGUCAUUUGUCUCUCAAUAACUGUCGUAACAUGCCAUAACCACAUCCUGCACCUGGCAUCACCGACGCUUAUGUAAUUAUCCAUGUUGCGAAAUAUAAUAAAAACCGACGUGUUAAGUUUAUCCCACGUUUGUGUCUUGCGAGAAUCGUUGUUUAAAUUGUACAAAGAAGGCCCUUUGACAGAGUUAGACGUCACUUUUUCUGAAUAACCGACGUUUAAAAGAUUUAAAAUUACAUAAUAUUACUCAAUAUCGACGUGCAAAAUUGUAACCAUGUCAGUUUUUGUCAAAGGAUGACGUUAUAAAUAAUAUUGAAGGUGUGGAUUGGAAAACAACCAACGUAGAUUAUGUAUUCAAUGACCGUGGCAUUAAAAUAAAGAAAGUGGUUUAUUAUUUCACUACGUCUAGAGAUCCACCUGCUUGACGUUGUAAUUGCUUACCACGUCGGUUUUGAUUACAUAAUGUCGUGGUUAUCCUUUCGAAAGUCGCUCAUUUGACCUUCCUUGACGUAUGUAUGCUCGGAGACGUCAGUUGUUUUAGACUAGCCGACGUGCAGAACAUCUGUCACGAUAGUUAAUGGAACUGCAUGGCCUUUAUUUCGGGCUUUAGACGACGGUUUAUUUUAAGCAAACCGACUUCAUUUCUUUUUCAGAUGUAUGUUUUUUUGUUUUACGGUCUUUUGCCUUUUUAAAAUCUGACUUUGUUUUUAUUUUAGACGUCUGUGUUUCCAAUUUUUUUACUGGACCGUCGUACUUUGCAGCUUUAACCCAGCUUUUUUAAUUUUUGAUUUGUCGUGCCCAAAGCCUGCAUAAUCAAAAUGUGAUCAGAAUUAAAAUGAUGUACAGAAUUAUUAAUUAAUAUCAUAAAAUUAACUGAAUAAUUAAUGUCAUACAUUACAACAAUCAAUCAAUCCAUAUAUCUUCACACCCAUCUCUAAUAUUUUCAUUCCCAAACUCACCCACUAGGUCAUCAAAUAUGUCAACAUUUGGUAUCCCCUCUAGUAACUGGCUCACACUCAAUUCUAGUAUCACCUAGCACAUCAUCACCAAUAACAUCAUUAUAUUCUGUAUUAGGCAUUAAUAACACUACCGACAAACCACGAUGCAUUGGGUUGUCAACAUAAAAUACUUGUUUGACUUGAGAAGCCAUAACAAAUUGGUCAUUCCUAUGUCCAAUGUUACUCAGAUCUACAAGGGUAAAUCCAAGUUCGUCAACUACAAGGCCCGAAGUGUUAUCACUACUACAAAAAGUGAAAAAGACGACCAGAAAACAACGACGGUCUAAGUGAAAACCGUCGUGGUUUUUAAAAAGACGACGGUUCUAAAAACACCGUCGUGUAAUACCACCUUAGACAACUAAAAAUGGAGAUUCAAAUGGCUGUUCAAAAACAACGACGUACCUAAUUAAAAAACCGACGUCUAUUUGAAACAGAUUUCCGCAGUGUAAAAUCAAAGCCAACAAAGAACGGCAGAAGUUAUGAAUCGACCGACGUAGAAAGUAAAGACGACGAUUUCAAUAAAAGCCGCCGUUUUUACUCAUAAAAUAACACGACGAAAUUUUCGUAUAAGACGCCGUAUAAUUACAAACAAAUCGACGGCUUUAAAAUACAAAAUGUCGCCGUAUUAAAUUAAUGUACAACGACGGAAAAUAUAAAUAUAUCGACGUCAUUCUCGUAUAGUUCUACGACGUUAUCUUUAAAUCGUACUAUAAAAUUUAACGUCGUAUUUAUUAAUUUUAUACGUCGUACCUUUAAUUUAAACCGUCGUCUUAAUAAGAAUUUUUGUUAACAAUUUUUUCCUUUAUUUUCUUAUCCUACGUCGGUAGAUCUACUUAAUGACAAGAAUUGAAAUCUGUCAUCCAAAAAAGAAACUUUACAUAAUCUAGAACAUUAAUUUCCUUCAUUUUAAAUUUCCUUAGGAAAAAAAACUCUAUUUAUAAAGCACUGUAAUUGAAAAAUAAACUGAAAGGUCACGGGAAAAAAAUUUCUAUUCAUAAUUUAACAAUUCAAAUCCACGUCGGUUAUAUUAAACCUAACGACGUAAAUGAAAAGAUUCCACGUCGCAAAACAAAUAUUGCGUCGUGUUAGUUUAUGGUUUCUUUAAUAGUUUCAGUUUCUUUAACAGUUUGGUCCUUUAUCUUUCUGCAGGACUUGUAUAGUUCAAAGCAUUGACUUGUAUAGUUCAGAGUAUAGUUCAAAGCACUGAUUCGAUUGCUCAUGCUUUAUCGCAUUCAUGAAACCCAUCUUCUUCUUCUGAAGCUCUACGGAUAAAGGAAGAGGCUAUCACAAAUCUGACGGAUCUUCUUAGCCAAGAAAAUCAAGCAGAGGAUCAGGCACAUCUGAUCUUCAGAUUUCCCUGAGAAGCGAACUUUCCUUCGACAGCGAGUGGAGGCCAGGCUUGCAUCUCUUUUAAUGGAAAGCAAGGAGUAUUCAGAAGCACUAAAUGUCCUAUCAGGCUUGAUCAAGGAAGUGAGAAGGCUAGUUGACAAGCUUCUUCUUGUGAACAUAGAUUUGAUGCGAGUAAGCUCAAUUUCUCUUUGAGAAAGACAUCCAAAUUACUGUCUUUGAGAUGUGAGAGACAGUGUCUCUGAGAGAGGAAGAACUUGGAACCCUAAAUGUAAACCGAAAAUGAAUGAAAGCGACAAAUUUAUAGAAUAAAUUUUUAAAACCAACGGCAGUCCUUACAAAAAAACCGCCGUUUAAAUUGCAAAAUCAACGUCGUUAUUACCGACGUAUAUUACAUAAAUCCACGUCGGUAAAUUAAUAAAACCGACGUGUUAAAUGAUCUACCAUGACGCGAGUUAUUACUUAUGUACUUUAAUUUUUGAGUUUACUACGACGGUACCUACAACACUACUGUCGUACUUAUUUACCACGUCCGAAGUUAAACGUACUGUCGUAUUUUGUAAUUUAUACGUCGUAAUUAUAUGUAACCGCCGUAUUAUUUUUUGAAAUGGUUUUAUAUGUAAGCAACUUUUCGUGUACCUGACUUACACAUGCACUGUUUCCAAACCCGAUUAAAAAUUUCAAUCUCCCAGAGAAAACUUUUAGACUUUUUUCCUUGUCAGAGCACUUUCAGAGUAUCUCAUCGUCUUCCUCUCGUCUUCUUCGUCGUCUCUGAACUUAAACAUCGAUCGUCUUUCUCUUGCUUUCAUUGCACGCAAAAGGUAAGCUUUCAUUUUCACUAUUUUGGUUGCUGUUUUGCAUGCUCAUACGUUUUUUGUUUGAAAAAUCUUUUUACCUUUUUUCUGGCCAAAAUCAUUUUACUUCUUUCCAAGUUCGAAAAAAUAUACAGACAAAGAGGGAAAGUUUCCAACUUUGAAGACAACUACCUCAACUAAAUAAGACGACGGUAGCUUCUUAUUUACGUGGUUAAAUAUGUAGACCACGACGGUUCGUCAGUCGUUCUAGCGUCGUCUGAAAAUUGACAAAGUUGUUUUUAAAAUUAUAGUCUUUUUUUUAUUUGCUUGUUUAAUUGCAGGUUUGAUUUCUCUGAACAAUGGUUUUUGUUUUUCCCUAAUUUGAUAAAAUAUAAAGAAAAAGAAAUUAGGGUUGGUAUCUAAUAUAGACGACAGUAUCUUAUUGUUUUACGUCGUGUGAAUGUUAAUACCACGACGUCAUAUUAAAAUACCGUCGUCUAUAUAAGAUUCCAAAAAUUUCUUUCUUGGCCUUGUAUUUUAUCAAAUUAGAAAACAAAAACCAUGGUUCAGAAAAAUCAAAUCUGCAAUCAAACAUUCACAGAGAAAGAAAGAAGGGUUUUGGAUCCUUAUAUAGACGACGGUAUAUUACUACUGACGUCGUGUGAACAUCAAUACCACGACGUUAUAUAAAUAUUCCGUCGUUUAUAGUUUAUUAUUACGUCGUUUGUAGUUAAUUAUUUCGUCGUUGUUUAAUUACCUUGGUUUUAAACAUUUAUUACGUCUGAUAUUAUUUCAUUGCGUCGUUUAAAAUCAUAUCAUACGUCGUCUUUUAUUAAUAACCGUCGUUUGUGUUCUUAAUCUUUUCUUGAAAUAUUUUCACUUGCAGUUUUGUCUGUAAAAAUGGUUUCUCACCAAGACCAAAGUAAGGAUUCUGGCUCCAACAAAAAUGGAGGUAAGGAGCAAGUACCUCCUCAAGAGAAGUCUUCGAAGAUAAUGAAGUCUUCGAAGAAGAUGAAGUUUGCUUCAUCAUCUGCUGAUACAGAACCAACCAGCGCGACAACAAUCUCUAAUGAUUCAAAGGCUGGUCGAGGUAUGAGCACAAUGCCUCGUGUUGUGAAGAGAAAACUUCAGAAACUGAGGCCAAUUGUUGAGUACAAUAAAAGGGGGAAAGGAAUUGGCCAAGCACACAGUGAGAUGCAGUCCUAUAUUGGUGUGUUGGCACGCUCCAGAGUCCCACUUGUGGACUUGAAAUGGGCUCAAAAACCCAAGGAUAUAAAGGAGCAGAUUUGGGAAGCAGUUGACAUUGCUUUUGUAGUAGGUCAAGGGGGCAAGAGCUCUGUCUUAGCUUCUGCUGCCAAGAAAUGGAAGGAUUUCAAGUCUACACUAACGAGGCAUUAUAUCCUUCCAUACACCAAUGACAGGGAGAGAUUAAGCCAACCCCCUGAAACAUAUAAAUUCAUAGAGAAAGCACAAUGGGAUGCCUUUGUAGCUUCAAGGCUAUCCAAAGAUUUUGAGUCUGUGCAUUCUCAACAUGCACAGAUUAGGGAGAAACUCGAGUACAAUCAUCGAUUGUCUCGAAAAGGAUAUGCUGGUUUGGAGGAUCAAUUAGAGGAAACCAUGCCUGGGGUAGAAAUUGAUCGAUCUACCUUAUGGAAGAGAGCUAGACAGGACAAACAUGGUAACAUCCCUGAUCCAAAGGUGGCAGAGAAAGCAAAAAUUAAUUGUAAGCCUACUCACUCUGUUUUAAAUUUUUAUUAAACUGUGAAUAAUUCUUAUUACGUCUUAUGUUAUAUUUUGCGUCGUGUGAAUGAUAUUACCACGUCGACAUUUUUUAAAACACGUCGUUAAAGGUCUAAAUAGGAAUCACAACUCUGUUUUCUGUAAUUAUAGCAUAAGAUGUCGGUGGUUCAAUUUCGCGUCGUCUGUAUUAAAUUACUACGUCGAAAUGUUUUAAACAACGUCGUUAAAGGUUUGAAUAUUGAAUCAUCCCUCUGUUACAUAAGACGUCGGUGGUUUAUUAAUUUCGUCGUUUUAAAAAACUAACCACGUCGGUAUAACUACCGUCGUGAUAAAUUAUAAUAACGUCGAUUUAUAUGUUAUUGCGUCGUGUGAAAUUAUAUAAUACGUCGUUUGUAUAUAAAUAACCGUCGUGUGUUUUUGUUCUUACUUUUUUAUAUAUCUUUGUUUCAGGAUGAUUUGCAAAAACAAGUCUUGGAAGGCAAAGUCACCGUCUCUGGCAGCAAUGAUGUGCUGACCAUGGCUUUGGGCCCCGAGCAUCCAGGCAGAGUCAGAGGAGUAGGUGCUGGGAUCUCACCAAAGCAAUAUUUCAAUUUACCCAAACCACAGAGAGUGAGCUUUGACGACCGUUUGAAGGACAGUUUAAGAGUUCUCCUUCAAGAAGAGACUAGAAAGAUGGAGGCUAAGGCAAGGGAAGAGGCUUUAAGGAUGGAGGCUAGAACGAAACAAUUGGUAGAGGCUGAGAGGGAGCAUUUCCUGAGUCAGCUUUCCCAAUUAAUUCCCAAUUUUGAUCCAAGCAUGCUUAAACCCAGAAUUAGCCAAAGUCCCAAAAAUCCAAUGUCUGACAAAGCAAGCUGCUCUGGAGGUGAUGUGAGAUCCCAGCAUUUUGAGGAUGAUACUGCCAAAAAUGGGAAACAUCAGGAAGAAAAGGUAACAUAUCUGAACUUUGAAUUCUCUGUUUUUUUAAAAACCAUUAGACGUCGUUAUUAUUAAUAAAACCAUCGUUUGAAAUACAUACCACGACGAUGUUAAAAAUAAACCGUCGUUUGUAUUUCAAUACCACGUCGUAUUUAGUUUACUUGUUUUACACGCCAUUAGACGUCGUUAUUUUUAAAACUUUGUGGUUUUUAGACGACGGAGUUAAUCAUUCCCGACGUCAUAGAUGAAGAGAAUAAAGAAGAAAAACAAGAUGAAAAGCAGAAAGAAGAUAACGACCAGGUAUGUUCACAUAAGUUUGCCUUUUUUAUUUGUUUUUCAAAAUUCCAGACGUCGAUAUUUUUCUUUAGACUGUCGUUUGUUUACAACUUAGACGGCUGAAUUGUUUUCUAAGACAUAAUAAAUAAUUCACCACGACGGUUUUUUCACCAUCGUUUAAAUUGUUUUCAGACGACGUUUUAUUCCUUAAACCGUCGUUUUUAUUGAAUUACCACGUCAUUUUUUUUAUUUCUUUAAACAGGUUAAUAAAGUUGUUGAUUAUUCAAAUAUGGAGGCGCCAUCUUNNNNNNNNNNNNNNNNNNNNNNNNNNNNNNNNNNNNNNNNNNNNNNNNNNNNNNNNNNNNNNNNNNNNNNNNNNNNNNNNNNNNNNNNNNNNNNNNNNNNAGUUGAUUUAAAAUGGAGGCGAUUCUUCUUUAAAAACCCUUUGUCGUUUUGUGGAAACGACACUCCUGCCUGAGGAUAAGACAGUCCAAUUUACAAUUGAUAAGGAGGUGUUUGGUGGUGAGCGCGAUACCUUCCUCCUGCCUGAAGAUAUUACACAAUUUGCAGGCAUGGAAGAAAUUGGAGCUACUGUAUUGGCUGUAUAUAUGAGGUUUGUACUUCUAAAAUAAUAACUCGUUGGUUUAUAUAUUGCGUCGUCUUAACUAACUAACCACGUCGUCUUAACUAACAACCGUCGUGAUAAAUAUAUUAUAACGUCCUCAUCUAUUUCAGUACGUCGUUUGAAAUAUUAUAAUACGUCGUUGUUUUAUACAUAACCGUCGUGUUUUGUGUGCUGACUUGUUUAUAUUAUUUUAUUUGUUUAGGUACUUACACGAUGUUUUGAAAAAAGCCAAUAUGUGCAGUAUGGUUGGCUUUAUCGACCCUGCUACAGUUAGUGCCAACUCUGGCACAAUAACUGCCAGAUCACGACUGGUAGCAGCUCGACUUCAGAAGACAGACGGUGAACAGAUUUUCAUAAUGCCUUACAAUCCAGGGUUAGUCUCCUUAGGAUUUUGUUUUUAUGAUUUUCAAUAAAUGACAGCUUAUAAACUAACCACGUCGGUGUUUUAUUUUAUUUAGUCGUUUGAAACUACUAACCACGUCGGUAUUUAUUUAUCGUCGUGAUAAAUAUAUAAUGUCGUCGUUAGCUACUUUACUUCGUCGUGUGAAAUACUAUAAUACGUCGUUUUUGUAAAUAACCGUCGUUUUUAUAUUAAUUUUGUGCAGCCGUCAUUGGAUUUUGCUGAUUGUAAGAGCAAAGAGAGAAACCGUCUAUUUUCUGGAUCCUCUGCCAGGAAAUCGUGUGGUCGAUGAAGAGGCCAAAAACAUCGUGAACAGUGCUUUAAAAUUAUAUAAUACCCACAUAGCCCGAGCAGGACGUAAAAAUGUAAUUUGGAAAACUCUCUCAGGCACACCAAAGCAACCCAGCAAUGUCGAAUGCGGGUAUUAUGUAAUGCGCUUCAUGAGGGACAUCAUCAUGGAUCCUUCCUUGGGGUUUGAGAAUAAGGUAAGAAGAAAUUACCUUCAUACAUUUCACGUCGUUUUUUGUAUUAUCAACGACGGUCGUGUAAAAUUAACGUCGUUGAAUGGAUAUACUACGUCGGUUAUGAAAAAUAUCGUCGUCUGUGAUUGAAUUUCUUUUUAUUAUAAACCCUAAUAGUCAUUGUUUAUGCAGUAUGCCAAGGGAAACCAGGAAGCUUCAUACCCCNNNNNNNNNNNNNNNNNNNNNNNNNNNNNNNNNNNNNNNNNNNNNNNNNNNNNNNNNNNNNNNNNNNNNNNNNNNNNNNNNNNNNNNNNNNNNNNNNNNNNNNNNNNNNNNNNNNNNNNNNNNNNNNNNNNNNNNNNNNNNNNNNNNNNNNNNNNNNNNNNNNNNNNNNNNNNNNNNNNNNNNNNNNNNNNNNNNNNNNNNNNNNNNNNNNNNNNNNNNNNNNNNNNNNNNNNNNNNNNNNNNNNNNNNNNNNNNNNNNNNNNNNNNNNNNNNNNNNNNNNNNNNNNNNNNNNNNNNNNNNNNNNNNNNNNNNNNNNNNNNNNNNNNNNNNNNNNNNNNNNNNNNNNNNNNNNNNNNNNNNNNNNNNNNNNNNNNNNNNNNNNNNNNNNNNNNNNNNNNNNNNNNNNNNNNNNNNNNNNNNNNNNNNNNNNNNNNNNNNNNNNNNNNNNNNNNNNNNNNNNNNNNNNNNNNNNNNNNNNNNNNNNNNNNNNNNNNNNNNNNNNNNNNNNNNNNNNNNNNNNNNNNNNNNNNNNNNNNNNNNNNNNNNNNNNNNNNNNNNNNNNNNNNNNNNNNNNNNNNNNNNNNNNNNNNNNNNNNNNNNNNNNNNNNNNNNNNNNNNNNNNNNNNNNNNNNNNNNNNNNNNNNNNNNNNNNNNNNNNNNNNNNNNNNNNNNNNNNNNNNNNNNNNNNNNNNNNNNNNNNNNNNNNNNNNNNNNNNNNNNNNNNNNNNNNNNNNNNNNNNNNNNNNNNNNNNNNNNNNNNNNNNNNNNNNNNNNNNNNNNNNNNNNNNNNNNNNNNNNNNNNNNNNNNNNNNNNNNNNNNNNNNNNNNNNNNNNNNNNNNNNNNNNNNNNNNNNNNNNNNNNNNNNNNNNNNNNNNNNNNNNNNNNNNNNNNNNNNNNNNNNNNNNNNNNNNNNNNNNNNNNNNNNNNNNNNNNNNNNNNNNNNNNACGUCGUACAGUAAAACAUACGACAUGGUUUACGCUUUAAACGACGUCAUUUUAAUAUGUAAGUCGGUUUAUAUAAUUUACAACGUUUUUAAUUUCUUAACACCGACGUGGUUUCUCAUUUUAACGACGUCAUUUUAACGACUUAGUAGUCUAUUACAAUUUACAACGUCUACAAUUUAUUUAACACCGACGUGGUUUGUUGUAUGGUAAGAAUAUUUUAUUAUUUUUAUAUCAAAAUAUUCAAAAUAAAUAUAAAAUAAAUCAGAAAAUUGAAAAGUCAACUCCUAUGAAGUCAUUGAUAUAUUUUCUUCCACAUAAACCUUGAAAAAAUUCAUUUUGAAUAACAAAAAUUUAAAAUGACCAUCCAAAACAAAAUUGUUUUGAUGAGUCAUAAAAUCACUUCUAGUUUAAUGGUUUAGGGUUUAGAGUCUAGGGUUUAGAGAUUAGUGUUGUUAUUUAUUGGGGUUUAUUUUUAAAGUAUAAUUUUUGGGUAGUCUAUGUUAUAUGUUAGGCUUUAAAACCAUAAAACCUUUUAUAAACUUAAUUUUUUAAAUUGUAUAAUUUAAUUUUAUGGGUUUAGUGUAUUAAUUUUUAACGACGGUGGUUGGGUCGUGGAAUACAUAUUUUACGUCGUACAGUAAAACAUACGACAUGGUUUACGCUUUAAACGACGUUAUUUUAAUAUGUAAGUCGGUUUAUAUAAUUUACAACGUCUUUAAUUUCUUAACACCGACGUGGUUUUUCAGUCGUCGUUAUAUAAAAAAUUCAAAAUAAAUUUAAAAUUAAUCCGAAAAAUGAACGGCCUUACGUUCUUAAUCCGAAAAAUGAAGUUUCCGUCGUGGAAUAUUAAAUUUACGUCGGUACUUGUAGAACUUUCGCCUUGAUUUUUCUUUCGACGUUUUAAAGAGCGCGCGCUCUCAAAAUUUUCGCGCGUCCUAAAUUUUUUUAUAUUUGGCUCUUAAUCUUAUUUUUCUAACCCUGAACCUAAAAUUUCAGAUUUCACGCGACAUAACAUUUCGCUCUCUCACUUCUGCUCUAAUUAAAAGUUGCACUCUCCAGGCUCGUCGAAUCUGUGAGCUCGUCCAACCUGUAAGUACAAACCCUAUCUUCCCCUUGUAAAUUCAUUGAAUGAUAUUAGGUUGUUUUGUUAAAGGGUUUUAGGUAUAUGCUUUGCGAUCUGUUAAUAAUGUGCUUAUAAGUAUGGGUUCAUGGAUUUUCUGUUUAAUGGGUUCAUGGAUUACAUUAUCUGUUAUGUUGAAUUGGGAAUGGAUUUAAUUUUGUCGGAUCUUUUAAUCACCCUAUGUUAUGUUGAAUUGGGAAUGGAUUUAUUGUUUUCAUGCUUGGUUUCAUGUAUAUGUUGUUUUCUUGCUUGGUUUCAUAUAUAUGUUGUGUUCUUAAUGGGUUUUGGGUUCUUGAAAAUAAACUGAGACACGACGCCUUUUUAGGCAUACGACGACGAUUACACGACGGUUUAUGAAAAAACCGUCGUUGUAUUACUUAUACACGACGGUGUUUUCAUAUACCGUCGUUUGUAUUACUUAUAUUAGACGAUGUCUGUUGAAAAUCCGUCGUCUAUAUAUGCCAAAUACGUCUGUUUUUGUUUAAAACCCGUCGUCUCUGUUGUGUAUUACUUGCUAUUAGAUCUUUGUAUAAUCUGCUAUAGUGAUGGUCAUUGCCUGUAUUUUCACUUUAUUAUAGAUAAUAGGUUAUAGUGUCGGAGAUGGAUAAGUCAUGGAUGCACUCGGAUAGAAGAUCGAAGGCAUAUGAGUUUGGGUUGGAAGCAUUUUUGAACUUUGCUGUAGAAAAUCUUCUAACUACAACACAUAUCCGUUGUCCAUGUGUUAAAUGUGUUAAUUUGAAGUUGUUUGGGGUUGGAAUUAUAAGGGAUCACUUAUACUUUAAUGGAAUUGACCAAAGCUAUAAGAAUUGGACAUUUCACGGAGAACCUUGGGAAGCAACUACUAAUGCUAGUAGAAAUGUUGAAGAAGAUGAUGGCCAUAGUAGGUACAGUUUUGUGUCUGAAGAAAUUGAUAUGGAUGAUAAUGAUUUUGGUUCCGAUCCGUAUGAGUUUGCCAAUGUGAUUGGGGAUGGAGAUCAACCAGUGUACCCUGGUUAUAGAAAGUACACGAAGUUAUCGGCAUUAGUGAAGUUGUAUAAUUUGAAGGCAAAACAUGGGAUGAGUGAUGUCUGUUUUACUGAAUUAUUGAUACUUCAAGGCGAUUUGCUUCCAGAAGGAAAUACAAUACCAACCUCUACGUAUGAGGCUAAAAAGACUUUGUGUGCAUUGGGGCUGAGUUAUGAGAAAAUGCACGCAUGCCCCAAUGAUUGCAUCUUGUAUAGGAAGGAGUAUGAGGAUUCAACUAAUUGUCCUACUUGUGGUAUCUCAAGGUGGAAGGAAGGCAAAGAUUCAAUCUUGAAAGAGGGUGUGCCAGCGAAGGUGGUGUGGUAUUUUCCUCCAAUUCCAAGGUUUAAAAGGAUGUUUCAAUCACAUGAGACAGCUAAGAGUUUGACUUGGCAUGCUGCUAGAAAAUCAAUUGACGGUCAGAUGUCUCAUCCGGCGGAUUCCCCGUCUUGGAAACUUCUUGAUGAUAAAUGGCCUGAGUUUGGUAAUGAGCCGAGAAACUUGAGAUUGGCUCUUUCAUCUGAGGGAUUCAAUCCCCACAGUUCUCUAAGUAGCAGAUAUAGUUGUUGGCCGGUUAUCUUAGUUACAUAUAAUCUCCCUCCAUGGCUGUGCAUGAAACGAAAGUUCAUGAUGUUAACCUUAUUGAUUUCCGGUCCUAAACAACCCGGAAAUGAUAUAGACGUCUACUUGGAGCCUUUGAUUGAUGAUUUAAAAUCUUUGUGGGAUGGGAUUAGAGGAGUGUAUGAUGCACAUAAUGGAGAAUACUUUACACUCAGAGCUGCAUUAAUGUGGACAAUUAAUGAUUUCCCCGCCUAUGGAAACUUAUCUGGUUGUGUUGUUAAAGGAUAUAAAGCUUGUCCAAUAUGCGGCGAUGAUACACCUAGUCACAGGUUGAAAAAUGGCCACAAAAUUUGUUACGUUGGGCAUAGAAAAUGGUUACCAAUCAAUCAUCCAUAUAGAAGGCAACGUGCAGCUUUUAAUGGGAAACCUGAAUAUGGCAUACCUCCCGAGCCAUUAACCGGAGAAGAAGUGCUGCAUAUGGUUGAAAAUGGUGACAGAGUUUGUUGGAAGAAGAAGUCAAUAUUCUUUGAUCUCGAGUAUUGGAAAUACCUUCCUGUGAGGCAUGCCCUAGAUGUUAUGCACAUUGAGAAGAAUGUUUGUGAUAGUAUCAUUGGUACAUUGCUGGAAAUCCCUGGAAAAAAUAAAGAUGGGAUUGCUGCUCGAUUAGAUUUAUUGAACAUGGGGGUCAAACCUGAUUUGCAACCCGAGUAUGGAGAAAGACGUACUCGUUUGCCUCCUGGGCCUUGGAAUUUGUCAAGAGCAGAGAAGAGAGAGGUUUGCAAUUCUUUCUAUGGUAUGAAGGUCCCUGAAGGUUAUUCUUCAAAUAUUAAAAAUCUUGUAUCUUUACAAGAUUCAAUACUUCUUGGCCUUAAAUCACAUGAUUGUCAUACCUUAAUGCAACAAUUGCUCCCUGUGGCAAUUCGUUCUGUUUUGGAGAAGCCUGCAAGGUAUGCAAUAACUCGUUUGUGCUUCUUCUUCAAUGCUAUAUGUGCAAAGACUGUUGAUGUUUCCAAGCUAGAUAAGUUGGAAGAAGAUGUAGUAGUUACUCUGUGUUUGCUUGAGAAGUACUUUCCCCCUUCAUUCUUUGAUAUCAUGGUUCAUCUAGUAGUACAUCUUGUCAGAGAAGUUCGUCUAUGUGGGCCAGUAUAUUUUAGGUGGAUGUAUCCGUUUGAAAGAUAUAUGAAAGUGCUGAAGGGGUAUGUUCAGAAUCGUACUCGUCCCGAAGGUUGCAUUGCUGAGCGGUAUAUAGCUGAAGAAGCGGUAGAGUGUUGUACUCAGCAUUUAUCUGAUGUUAGUACAGUUGGAGUGCCUUCAAGCCAAAAGAUGAGACUUUCAAAGCCAUUAUCAGGUUGCACAGUCAGCGUAGUUGAUCAGGACCUGUUGAAUCAAGCACAUCUAUAUGUCUUGGAGAAUACGGAGGAAGUCCUACCUUAUAUCGAGUACGUAUGAGCUUUAUUCUUUAAGUUUCCAUUUUAAAUUAUUUCUUAUGUUUAUCUUCUAUAUUUAGGACCGUAAUGCUUGAAUUUUUCGUGUCAUGUAGGCAACAUAUGAUUCACAUCAAGACUGCUUAUCCAAAAUUUAGAAAGGGAACAAAGUGGCUGCAGGAUAAGCACAAUAGCACUUUCAUUCAAUGGCUACGCUUCAAGGUAUAUGUUGUUGAAUAACAUAUUUCUCUUUUAAUUUUCUUCUUAUUUAUAUGUUAGAUUGAAUUAAGAUAUGAUUAAUUUGCAGGUUCAAAGUGAACUUGAGGAAGACAAUCAUGGCGUAUCAGAAAAUUUAAGGUGGCUAGCAACUGGUCCAAACAUGUCAGUGCCAUUAUAUAGGAGCUAUCUUAUUAAAGGUAUUAAAUUCAAUAUCAAGGCACAAGAUGAUGUGCGGACAACUCAAAAUAGUGGAGUUUAUUUACUUGCACAUACCAUGCAAGUUGCUAGUGCCAAGGAUAAAAACCCAAUUCUCUCAAAUAUGGGUUUCUAUGGUGUCAUUCAAGAAAUUUGGGACCUUGACUACCAAAAGUUUACAAUCCCAGUCUUUAGGUGUGAUUGGAUAGAUAGUUCUGGUCUUGUAGUCGACGAACUUGGAUUUACCCUUGUAGAUUUGAGUAAAAUUGGACAUAGGAAUGACCAAUUUGUUUUGGCUUCUCAAGUCAAACAAAUAUUUUUUGUUGACGACCCGAUGCAUCGUGGUUGGUCGGUAGUGUUAUCAAUGCCUAAUAGAGAAUAUAAUGAUGUUAUUGGUGAUGAAGUCUUAGGUGAUGUGAUAAUUGAGUGUGAGCCAUUUACUAGAGGGAUGCCAAAUGUUGACACAUUUGAUGAACUGGUAGGUGAGUUAGGCGGUCAAAAUAUUCGAGAUGGGUGUGAAGAUAUAUGGAUUGAAUGAUGCUUAUGUAAUUGGCAGUGUAUGACAUUAAUUUUGUAAUAUAUUGUAAUGCGAUUUCUUCACUUUCUACGUUCAAAUAAAACACGACGUUAUUGUGAAUCAGUUAUUCAGCAUAUUUACCGACGUCUUAAAGCAACGUAACAAUGAAGAACCACGACGCUAUUGUGAAGCAAUUAUUCAGGAUAUCACGUCGGUGAAGGAUUAAGAACCGCCAUGUAAUUCAGAAUAACAUGACUCCAAUCCCAUAAUACCGACGUCUUAAAAAUGAGAUAUAUAAUCUGAACAUUAAAAAAUACGACGUCAUCAUACAUUUUCCACGUCGCAAGUUCUUUUAUAAACGAAGAGGAACGAAAUGAAUUCCGACGGAAAUUCAUUAUAACCGCCGUCUAAUAACAAUUAAACGACGUUAUUUGUAAUACGGCUCUCAUCAUAAUCUACGCCGUCUAUAUGUUCUGUAAUACGGCUCUCAUUUAUUUGGAACCGACGUUGUUUAGAAGUUCAACGUCGUCUAUAUAUUAAGUGCGUCGUGAGUAAUGAAUACAUAUACAUACAACGUCGACUAUAUAAAUGUAUACGUCGUAAUAAUGACACUGACAACUAUUCCACGUCAUUUUAGAAAAUCGAAGUGAAAAAUUUAUUUCACGACAGUUUUUGUAAAUAAGAGACGUAGUAGAUUUCAAUAACGUCGUCUUCUCAUGUAUUUAAAGACGUCAUAUUUUUUCUUGUUGUGUAAAUUAUAUUUAACGGCGUAGUAUUUUAGUUGUCGUCGUUGUAUGUAUAUCUUGCGGCCUUGUUCUUUUAAUAUGUGUCAUAUUUUUCCUUUUUAAAGACGGUGAUUUUUUUGAGUUGGUCGUCUAUUCUCAUCCUCGACUAUUUUCUAGAACUUUAGCAGACUAAACACGUCUGUUUUUAUUUUUUCCGACGUUGUUUUAUUUAACAACGUCUAAUAUUUAUCGUCGUUGUUUGUUUCUGAAAAUAGGACGUAUAAAUUUUGUAAUACGACUCUCAUAUAUUUGUAACCGACGUUGUUUAGUUUUUCAACGUCUACUCUAUAAACAUAUACGUCCUAAAUAAUGACACUGACAACUAUUUCCACGUCAUCUUUUAUCGAAAAAUCGAAGUGGAAAAUUAAUUUUACGACGGUUUUUUUUAUAUAUGCGACGUAGUAGGUAUCAAUAACGUCGUCGUCUAAUGUAUUUAAAGACGUCAUAUUUUUUAUUAUCGUGAAAAUUAUAUUUAACGUUGUCGUAUUUGUAUUUUGGUCGUUGUAUGUCUAUCUUGCGGCCUUGUUCUGUGUCAUAUUUUUCCUUUUUAACGACGGUGGUUUUAGAGAGUUGGUCGUCUAUUAUCAUCCUCGAUUGCUUUUUUUAGAUCUUUUUGCAGUACAAAGACGUCGUUUUGUAUUUGUUGAUGACGUUGUAUAUUUUAACAACGACGGUUAUUUAGCGUCGUGGUUUAUGAGGGAAAAGAUGACGGUGGAUUCCACGACCAUUGAAAAACCCAAUACACGACGGUGAUUUACCGUCGUCUUUUUGCUUUUUUGUAGUAGUGGAGACUCAAGAUAUGAUUGCUUGUUUAUAACUAGCUUAAUUUUUGUUAUGACCAUAUUAUUGACAAUAUAUUUAUUUUUAAUGGAAUACUUUAUUUAUUUUAUAAUUAAAAUAAUCUUUAGCUAAGGUAAUGACCUCUCAAAGCAUGGCAUGUGGAUGAUCUAGUCUAACUAAUUGCUCGGUCAGUUACGGUACUAACAAGUUUUGAUAUGGUACGAUCUUAUUUGUAAUUAGCAGUUCCAUUAUCAAGCUAGAGACCAUGUGACGGGCAGACAACAAACCUGCAAAGCUUGGAGUGCAAUAAAUAUUCCAUUCUCACUUCACUUGUGCAGUGUGUUGAACUCCAAUUUUACUAGUAGCCAAGCUCACGAGAAGGGACUAGGGAUGAUAAUGGGUCGGGUAGGGGCCGUGUAUGACAAUACCAUCCUCAUCUCUGGCCUCAUUCCCGAACCCAUCCCCAUUUAAUAGGUUUUGGGGAAUCUUCGUCCCCGUCUCCGUUGGGGGACUAUCUCCCAUACCCGCCCCGAAUCCCCUUUUUUUUUUCUUUUUUUUUUUUUGCAUAAAUUUUUUUUAUCAUACAUUUUAACAUUAAGUUUCAUAUUAAUUUAUCAUUCAACACAUCCAAAUUAACUAUAAAGUUCAACUCAACUAUUCAAAAUCACUUCAAUAUGAAAUUCCAAAGAAGAUUAGGAAGAAUUAGGAGAGGGAGGUAAACUUAGGGUUAAACAUAAAUAUUAUAAUUAUUUAUUUAUUUAAAUAUAAACAUAUCUAUUUUCAGGUCGGGUUCGAGGAUGGGCACCCCAAUAUCAUCCCCUUCCCAUACUCGUCGGGGAUUUUUCAUGUUCAGGGAUUCCCAUACCCGAUACCAAUUUGGCCCCGAAAUAUCCCCCUGUUAGGGUCGGGGACCCGCACCCAUGGGGAUAUUUGUGUUUGGGGGCUGUUGAAAAUCACGGCCGGAUUUGAAGUUUGCAAAGAGAUAGCGGCCGGGCAGUUCGAGUGGAGCUAGAAAUCUCGGCUGGGAUUGGAGAAGUUCGCGGGCAGAGGUGUUGGAGAUCUCGGCCGGGAGUCGUUUGAAGUGCGGCUGGUUGGGCUGUGCUCGAAAGUGGCUAGGCACGGCCGAGACUUGGGAUAUCUAGGCCGGGUUUCGAAGGAGUAUUGCAAUCGAGAUCUGGAGCGGCCAGAGAUGCCCAAGAGAUGCUCAAGAUAGAUUUUUCGGGCAGAAAAAUAUGCGGUUGGGUUUUGUUAGUAAUUGCGAAUUGGCUGAAGGAUUCAUAGGUCAAAAAACUAAUUGUUAUAUAUAUAAGCAAAGAUUUGAGAGGUUUUUAUUUGCAAGCUGCCCACUUAUAUAUAUAUAUUAACUUGGGAGUUCUAGGAAUUCAAAGGUUAGGAGGGGCAUCCCUAUAUUAUUUCAAAGGUUCGGAGGUCCAAGUCCAAGCCAUGAAUUCGAGUCCAAGAUCUCCAGAAGGAUUAUGGGCACGUGACGGAGGCUUCACAAAGAAGGAAAUCAAGGAUGACGAUAAUGACUCCGAAAGUUCCAAAGCAGGAAAGAAUCAAGCAUGUCAGAAUAUUUCCAUCAAUGCAUUCCUAUGGAUUUAGGGGGGCCUUGGAAGGAAAGAAGUUUUAAAAGAGUUGAAUGCAACAACUGUACAGCAAGCUUCAACCGAUGAAAGGGCAUGGCGUCAUGGAAAAUCUUGGCCAGGUCUACAUUCGAGGUUAGAAACUCACAGUAUUUUGAGGAUGUACAUUCCACAGUCGCCCCUGAAACAUAGCGAAGAAGUUGUGAUUCAUUGUACAACAAAUCCAUUUCAUAAGACAAUGUGGUUAGGUGGAAUAUUACUCACCCGCCUACUUGUUGGGGUGCAUCCAUGACGCGAAUAACUGGCCACUCACUUUUCAGAAGUAGACUGUCGCCAAUAUAUCCAGAUUCCUUUAACAACCGGGGCAGAAUUUUCACCACCGGCUGCACGGCCCGUUGGAUGGCUUGAGUUCUGCACAGAUCUACUUUUGAAUCAUAUGCCCUUACCUCACACUCUUUUAAAUCGACAACAAAUAAGAUCCAGUGCUUCUGCCUUUGUAGGUUGAAGGGAAAACAAACGCGAUUCACACAAAACCAUGAUUUAGCCAACUUAGGCCCUUCGCCCUUGACCAUUCCUAGUAGACCCUUGCUGUGCUGCCUAUCCUCCUUUCCCACAUACACCUUCAUUUGCUUGUAAUCCAAGGCAGCACAUUUCUGCAUAGUGGCACACGAGUUAUGCAUCAUAAUGGAUACCGAAUUUGAAAAUAAACAAUGCUUAAGAAAUAAUACAGACCUGAAAAGUGGUGUCCAGUAUCGUCCAGUCAUAACCUACCCAGUUGCUAGAGCUCUUGUGCCGCUCCCAUAGGAAAAGCAAGGCCAUGUCUAUGUUCUACAUAACAGGGUUGUUUCCAUUAUUAAAUCAAUAAAUCACUACAUAGCAUGGACAUUUCAAAAAAUCCCCAAAUCAAUAAAUGCUUACCGAGUUAUCCAACCAACCAUCCUUGGUCAGCAAUCGAACAAAGAAGUUAUGCGAACCUUCCAUACCGUCUCCUCCACAUAACACACAUGUGAACUACAUUUGUGAAUCAUUAUUAUUAUUAAUUCCAUUUCACCAUUCACUCAAUAACUAAUCAUAAUAAACCAUUUACAUUUCACUAAGCAGGGGUAGUGGGAACUUACUUUUCUUCUUGUCCCCAUUCCAAGCAAACCAAAAGGGAAUCACGAGGAACAUGCCUUAGGGGGUCAGCAAUGGUGUCCUAUGAAAUGUUAGGAAUCUCCCGACCUGUCCAUGGAGUUUCCCUCACCACUGCCCUUUGCCUCUUCAUUGCAGGGCCAAGAAUCUCACUCUUUCCCCGACCCCUCUUUUGUCGAACCCCAACUAUAACAUCUUCGCCACAUUCACCCUCAACAGUGGACAUGUCAAUCUUUCGAGGAGGAUUCGUAAGAAAUUUAACAAGGGUGACACACACCACACCCGGGUCUCCCAAUUUAUAUAAUGUAAAAAACAUCUCCAAAGCAGUCGAAUUUGCAGCAUCUACUGUUGCAACCAUUCCUCGUUUUUCAGAACUAUUGCCACUCGAGGAAUUCAUAGCUUCUUUACGGGAUUUCAAAACCAAAGGAAAACCUACAGAAUAGAAAUGGAAAGUACAUAAAGUUCCAAGAGAUCAAUUACUACCAACUAUGAUGUGUAUAUUCUAUCAAGGGCACAACCAACGUUAGUGUAAUGUCCAUAUAUCAACUUUGUAUUAAAGAAAUAUUCACCAUUCACCCAUCUCUGUUCUGUGUCAUCGACAUAACCCGACCAUUUUUUUGGUGAUGAAAUAUAGUAGCAUUACUUACAGUAACUUCUUGGUUUUUGAUCAGAGAAAUGUACUUCAUAGAAACAUGACAAUCAAUGCAAACAAUUAUAUUCUUCAUCACCCUUACUAGUGCACUCUCAGGAGUGUUCAAAAAGCCAAAAGCAAUGAAACCGAUACAGAACUGGUGAGCUAUGAAACCUAUUUCAAAAUUCAAAACAAAAUGAACUACAUAAAAAACUGUCCUUUUACUCUCAUAUUGCAAAUUAUUUGCUCGUGAAAUUUUUUCCAGAAACUUAUUUCCUUUCCUUUCAAACAUCUAUUAUCUCUUGAAAACGUCAAAAGAGUUUUUUUCAUUUUUUAUUUUAUUAUUUUUAAAAUAAUUAAACAAAAAACAAAAAAACGCCAUGAAGACAUGCAUGCAUAUUGGAAGAAAACAUUAUAACCGCUGAAAGAAAAGUAAACAAAAGUGUCUUACUGCAUGCAUAUCUGCAUGAAAGAAAAACAUGCAGAAUAAAGUAGUGCCUUCCACUGUUCCACAUACAAUUCUCACUACAAUUUUCUUUCUGUUUACCCUAAAAUAAACAUGCAGAUUUGAACUUUUGUUUACCCUUCUUUCCGUUGACUUUUAUUUACGCUUUCUUCCCGUAAAAAAAUAUUUAUCCAAUAAGCCCCUAAUUAAUUUCUGUAUGAUAUUCCAAAAUCCUUUUAUAGGUACAAAGUGUUUCAAUAUUACAUAGUCUCUAAUUUCUUGUAGAUGGAAUUAUGAGGUAGGAAUCAAAUAAAGCUAAAAAUCCUACAGAGUUGCGCCCUCAACACCCUUCUAAUUGCACGUGUGUUUUGCAAAGAAAUUUAUUUCAUCAUUGCUUACUAUUCUCAUGCGCAGUACGUAUACUUCUUCUAUAUGAAGCCCAUGCAGCAUGCCAGCCAGUGCCAACUUAUAUUUCCAUCAUUUCAUCACUGCUUUUAUUGAUCAUGGUAUUUAUAGGUUUAACAUCUUAUGUCUUCGUUGAAAACAUAAUACCACAAAUUACAUGAACAUGGUAUUAAUAAUCGAUUCAUGAAUUAAUGCUGGUGGAAUAUUAAAGCACGCCAGAACCCCAUUUUUUUGUUUUUGUUUUUUUUGUUUUUUGUUUUUAAAUUUGAGAAACAGUAGAGAUUCAAUUGAAGUACAGGACACAAACCCAAAAUACAACAGUAAGAACACAGCCCCAAAAGGAGGUUCUUGCUAUUCAGAGACGGUAACAACAUCACCAACUACUCACAAGUAUUACAAGAUAGUUAGAAAACAAAUAUACAACUUGGAACCCAACUAACAAGGAGUUACAGAUGAGAAGUACCCAAAUCCCUACAGCAACCAAUGCUCUUACUCAGUUAAUGUGUAAUUGCUCUAUUAUUAUUAAUAAAAGUAAAAUUAAUUAGAAGUUAGAAAGAAAAUAAAUGAACACCUGCAUUUCAAUACAGUUUUGUAACUUAAACCGUAAGCAUGACUUUACAACAGGCUAUGUAGUACAUAAUUCUUGUAUGCAACAGAUUCCUUGUACAAAACCAUAUGAUACAACAAACAUAACAAUAAUUCAUCCAUUUUGUCCAGCCCAGUCAUUUAACUCCCGGCUUUGUCAUCGAGAGAACUGGCUGAAACUGCAAGAGACUCAACAAGAUAUGAUUGCUUGUUUACGACUAGCUUAAGGCCCCAAUUGGGAUUACUUUUUUUGGCCAAAAACAUGCUUCACUUUAAAGUUAAGCAGUUUAAGGUGUUUGGUAAAAAUAAAAUAUCCUGAUUAUUUCAAAAAUAGUGGCAUUUUGACAGCAGCUUUUAAAAGCAGACUCUGAGUUGCUUUUCAAAGCUGCUUUCAAAAGAAGCAGAGAUGAACUUUUAAUGAAUUUUUUUAAUUCCCAAAAAACCAUCAUUCAUUUUAAAAAAUGACACCACCGCCACUUCCACAUCCAACUCCACCACUUGCACCACCACAUUCACUACCUCCACAACCACCGCCACCACAACCAUAACCACCACCUCCUCCACCACCUUCACCACCACCUCCUCCACCUCCACCACCACCACCACAACCACCUACUCCUCCAAAACCUCCACAUCCACUACCACCUCCACAACCACCACCAUGCUGCCACUACCACUGUAAUAACCCAAACAAAAUAUCCUAAAAUUAGUAUUAAUUUAUUCUAGCGAAAAGACGACUUUGUCCUCACCUCUUUUAAGAGGGGGAAAAGUUGACUUUUUGACCGAGAAGGAAUUUGGGAAUUUCGUUUACGCCGUUGCGUAGAGCACGGCGAAACGAGUUCGUAGACACGGAGUAGACCCGAAUCAGAGUUGUAACGAAGGAGUUAUAGUCAAAAGAGUCUCAGUGGCAGAACCGUAAAUAUUUCGAAGUUCAGUUUUAUAAACCCAGUUUUUCUUCCUUGCGACCAUUUGGACGAGCCAACUUCAGACAGCGGUUUCUCCCAACACGGGCCGCUGUUUCAGGCGAUACCGGUCCCAAACGAACCACCUCACUUCCCUCUAUCAGUUCUGCCCCACCUCAGCCUCCAUCCGCUACUGCAGUAGCCGGAAACAGCCACGAAACAGGCCGGUUUCAACAGUUUUUCUGGAAUUUUUGGGAGCUCGUUCUCCCUUAAUUCUUUUCCGAAUUGGACGAGUAAGGUAUGGUUUUCUACCUAUUUUCCAUGCUCUAGCUGUUGGUUGAGUAGGAUUUCGUUAAUUUUGAGCGUAGUUCAACUGAAUUCCAACUUAGGUUUUUGCCGGUUUUGGGUCUCCGAUUCCGGCCACCUCCGGCCAUUUUUUGGGGGUUGUCCAAGAAUAAAAGUGACUCCAAAUGGGGUGUUUUACCUAGGGUAGGAUUUUGGAGUCUCGGUUCCAAGAUUUUUUCCGGCACACCCGAUCGCUUUGGACACCCGAUCGGUCCGCGCGUGUGGCGGCGCGUGGGCCAGGGUGGUGGCACGGCUCUGGUCCGUUUUGAGACCCUCGUGCCAUCACGAGCGCGUAGGAUUUUGCGGAUCUCAAUUCGGAGUCCGUUUGAGCCCCGAACGGAUUUUCCAUAUUAUGCGAUCCCCGGUUGCAGCGUCGUCUAGCCGUUGGAUCGCACCCCAUUUCGGAUAUGUUGUUCUACAUUGUUUCAGGAUAGCGUAGGAUUCGACGGAUUGCAAAUCGGAGUCCCGGAUACUCCGGAAUCACGAACCCUGGGGCUAGGGUUAGGGUUUUAAGCGAUAGCGCGAUUUUGGCCAAUCCGACCGUCCAUUUCGGACCAAACUCGCAGGACAUGGGUUUUACACAGUGAGGAACCUCUAGAGAAUCCCAGAUCGGCCAUCGGAGAUCGUGGACCCCACGGGGUUCCGGAUCGGCCGGUCUAACAGUUUAUCGCUCGGUAAGGUUUCCGGUCUUUUAAGGCCAUUCUAAUUAUCUGAAAUGCUACAGUGGUCAUAGAGUUGACUUUACAAUGAGAGCACGCAUUUCUAGGAGCCGGGGGUCAGGGUAUUUAAUUUAAUGUUUUUAUUGAGCAGUUUAGUAAUUGAAUAUUCAUGGUUAAACAGGCAUCAGAGGCCAAACUGAACCACAGGAGGGACCUUCAAGAGGUCCAGCUAGCUCGGACCAGCAGUGAGUGGACCUUUCUUUUUUAAAUAAUUUUCUGAAUCAGUUUUAUUCAGUGUGAUUUAUUCCUAUGAAUUUAAAGGUUCCUUCUAUACAUUGCUUAGCUGAUUUUGCUAAAGUUAUUUGGACAACAGACUUUGAGAUUUAUGAUUCAGAAAUAUCUAGCUCAGAUUUUAUCAGAAUACAGAGGAUGUCAGAUUUUAUCCAAGAUAAUUAUUUUAGACCACCAUGAAUUAUAGAAAGCAGAGUUUGAGUUUUCUAUCAGAUAAAAAGGGCAGCACAGUUAUAGAUUGAAUAAAGAUUCAGUUAUUCAUCAGAUCUUUCAGAAAUAUUAUGAUAUUUAUAUUUGAUAUUUUCUCAGCAGUUAAUAUUUUCUUAAACCACUGUGGAUACCCGGUUAUAGAAACAGGUUGCCGUCAAAUAAGACGAUGUCUACGGACAUCCAGAUUGCCUUUGGUUUAUGUUGCCUUCGGAUAUGAUGAUGUCUACAGACAUCCAGUUUACUUUCAGUUACGUCAGUGCACUUGACAUUUGCCUCACGAGUUUUGGGGACGCCCGGACAGUGAGUGCCAGGAUUGCGAAUCAGGCUGACUACGGUCUCCUGAAUCCUGCCAGGAUUGCGAAUCAGGCUGACUACGGUCUCCUGAAUCCUGCCAGGAAUUGCGGAUCAGGCUGACUACGGUUUCCUGAAUCCUGCCAGGAAUUGCGGAUCAAGCUGACUACGGUCUCCUGAAUCCUGCCAGUUUGCGGCUCGGAUACACUAUGUGUCGCCGAGACCUGCCAGGGGAAUUGACGAAUUUACAGAAAAAUUGACGGAUACCAGGAAUUGACGGAAAUUAAAUGGGUACACCCAGUUGGUAACUUUAGAGGAAUGUCAGUGCAAUUAUGCAAAUAUUGAUUUCAGUGAUUUUACUUGAGUUUCUUAAUAUCGAGCAGUAACGGUAUAUAUAUGUUUACCUAAAUGCUUUGGACUUAUCAUAAUUCAAGUGCAGUUUAAAUAUUCAGUCGUAUGAUUAUCAUUAUUUUUACAGUGGGGGUUAUUAUGUUCAUAUACUGUUUUCUAGAACUUUAUUUUGGUCCACUCACACUUUGAAAUGUUUUGCGCCCCCCAGGCAGUCGAGUGUGCAGGAAUCCACCACCAGGCCUUCUCCUAGCUCCCACGCUACUUCCAAGCUGUAGGAUUUCUUGUAACCUACUUAAAUUCUUGUAAACAAUUAGUAACUGCUCUGAUAUCUGGUUGGAUUAGAUAACCAGAACUGGUGAAUAUUUAAUUACCCUAUUCUGGUAGUUGGUGUGGAUUUAUCAGUUUGUUUGACAGGUGGAAAAUUUGGGUUUAGUCAAAUUACAGGGGAGUCUCUGCCGAAAUUAAAGCAGGAGUCCAGAGAAGGUUUUAACCAUAUUUAUCUCCAGGAAGGGUAAAGAGGUCAUUGUGCCCGACAAUUGCCAGGUGUCGGACACGCACAGGGCUUGGCUCGAAUUCCAAAGCGGAAAUUGGGUCGGGUCCUGUCAACCACCCCCACCACCACCACCACCACCACUACCACAACGACCAACUCCACCUUCAUCACCACCACUACCUCCACUCCAUCACUACCACUACCACCACAUGAUUAGUACAUAACACUUUUAACAUCAUGUCCAUUUUAGUCAUUAUUCACAGUUACAAUAAAUUUAUGUUAAAAUUUACCAAACGGUUUUUACACUGCUUUUUGUACUAACAACACUUUAAAAUAUUGUUUACCAGACAUGGAGCUGCUUUACUUUACAGCUAAUUAUUUUCAAAGCACAGCAGAAGCAACUUUUUUUUUUUAAAAGUGACACCAAUUCCAAACUAGGCCUAAUUUUUGUUAUGACCAUAUUAUUGACAAUAUAUCUAUUUUUAAUGGAAUACUUUAUUUAUUUUAUAAUUAAAAUAAUUUUUAGGGUGUGAUGGAAACAUAUUUAAUACAAAAAAAAUAUAUAAGAUAAAGUGAAAGUGCUUUUCCUUUUACCAAACACUUGAACAGAAAAGUCAUUUCAACAUAAUGCCCUUUUUAU
RNAcentral lists this long non-coding RNA (49868 nucleotides) under Prunus persica (peach). RNAcentral describes it as "long non-coding RNA (PPER_LNC004449)". Lineage: Eukaryota; Viridiplantae; Streptophyta; Magnoliopsida; Rosales; Rosaceae. The record is from RNAcentral.